AAAAAAAAAAAAAAAGUUGCUUGCUCUCUCACUAAAUUGUGGUUUAAUGGCUGAGAAGCCAUAAAUGAAAAAAAAUUGAUCUACCCUGCUAUAAAUAAGUCUGAGUGUCAUAAAGCACAUGAUAUUCCGAAAAUACUCUUAAUGAAAAAGGAAUAUGGCAUUGCUGAUUUUUUGUUUGUUUUUUAUAUCGAAAAUCAAAAAAAAAUUGAGAAAUGAAAAUUCUAAAAUUCUAAUACCAAAACCGAAUCUGGUUUCUCUGAAUUUCUGGGUUAACAUCUUAAACCGAAAUCCGAAAUCGAAAAUCUUUUCCCAGAAAUCGUCCAUCGAAUCUCCGAUCCGUCUUCGUUUAUUAUCGCUCGGCGCGGUGCGCCGGCCUUCUCUGAACCCAUGGUGUUCGCCAAAUCUCGUUGUAGAGCCGUCAUUUGGUAAUAAGGUAACUUCUUCUACAGUUUGGGGAUUAGGGUUUAGUAAUCGAUUUGUCAAUUCCGUUCGUUUUAGGUUGCACAUUGGAUAGUAGAGUGGCGUAUAUAUGUCGAUUUAGUCUUCUGAGUGUUAAAAUUGAACUUGUUGCCGUUGAAUCGAGCUGAAUCGUAGGUUUGUAUAGUGAAUCAGUGAGAUAUGGGACAACUGGUACAAUUAGGUUAACUGAAUGGAAAGGGACAACUGGUACAAUUGGGUUAACUGAAUGGAAAGAGACAACUGGUACAAUUGGGGUAACUGAAUGUAAUGGGAAAACCUGUACAAUUCGGGUAACUAAAUGAAAUGGGACAACUGGUACAACAGGGUUAACUGAAUAGAAUUGGACAACUGGUACAAUUAUGAUAACUGAGUUGAAUUGGGUUAACUGAAAGGAAUGGAACAACUGGGACAAUUGGGACAAUUGGGACCCGGAAUGUAUUGGGACAACUGGUACAAAUGGGAUAACUGAGUUGAAUUGGGUUAACUGAAAGGAAUGGGACAACUGGGACAAUUGGGACAUUUGGGACCCGGAAUGUAUUGGGACAACUGGUACAAUUGGGAUAACUGAUUGAGAUAAGUGGGACAACUGGUACAAUUGGUACAGUUGUGAGAAAAUAGGAAAUAUUGUUAUUCGUUAAUGACUUAGUUUUUUUUGGUUUUGUGAACAGAAGAGGAUGAGCGGCCACACAAACAUACAUUUUGAGUAUGGAGGAUGUUAUUAUAAGGAAAGAGAGGAGUUUAAAUGGAUAUCAAGAAGCUCCAUCUAUGCUAUAUCAUUUAAAACCUCUUUGGAUGAGGUAACAUAUCCGAUGGUUGUAGAUGGUAUAUGCAAGAAGAUUGGGGUAAACGAUAGUAAGAAGAAGCUCAAGUUAAGCUACAUUCCGUUGGUAGCUAAGCCACUCAAUGAGUCAUGUAUUGUUGAUGAUUGUGAUGUGUAUGUCUAUCUAACAAUUGUGGAUAAAGAGGGACUUAGAUCUGUAUUGCAUGUGGAGAUAAUGGAAGAUUUGGAAAGAGAUAAGAUUCAAGAGUAAUGGAAUAUUUUCAUUAUCUUGGAUUUCUUGCAAUAUUAUGUAUUUUGGAGUAAUUUGUAACCUAAAAAUUAGGUGCAACCUAAAAAUUUACGUCCAAACCCAGGCAAACUACGAACAACUAGGACAACUAAAGCACAUGAUAUUCCGAAAAUACUCUUAAUGAAAAAGGAAUAUGGCAUUGCUGAUUUUUUGUUUGUUUUUUUAUAUCGAAAAUCAAAAAAAAAUUGAGAAAUGAAAAUUCUAAAAUUCUAAUACCAAAACCGAAUCUGGUUUCUCUGAAUUUCUGGGUUAACAUCUUAAACCGAAAUCCGAAAUCGAAAAUCUUUUCCCAGAAAUCGUCCAUCGAAUCUCCGAUCCGUCUUCGUUUAUUAUCGCUCGGUGCGGUGCGCCGGCCUUCUCUGAACCCAUGGUGUUCGCCAAAUCUCGUUGUAGAGCCGUCAUUUGGUAAUAAGGUAACUUCUUCUACAGUUUGGGGAUUAGGGUUUAGUAAUCGAUUUGUCAAUUCCGUUCGUUUUAGGUUGCACAUUGGAUAGUAGAGUGGCGUAUAUAUGUCGAUUUAGUCUUCUGAGUGUUAAAAUUGAACUUGUUGCCGUUGAAUCGAGCUGAAUCGUAGGUUUGUAUAGGAAUCAUGAAAUAUGGGACAGACUGGUACAAUUAGGUUAACUUGAAUGAAAAGGGACAACUGGUACAAUUGGAUUAACUGAAUGAAAAAGACACUGGUACAUUUGGGGUACUGACUGUAAUGGGAAAACCUGUACAAUUCGGGUAACUAAAUGAAAUGGGACAACUGGUACAACAGGGUUAACUGAAUAGAAUUGGACAACUGGUACAAUUAGGAUAACUGAGUUGAAUUGGGUUAACUGAAAGGAAUGGGACAACUGGGACAAUUGGGACAAUUGGGACCCGGAAUGUAUUGGGACAACUGGUACAAAUGGGAUAACUGAGUUGAAUUGGGUUAACUGAAAGGAAUGGGACAACUGGGACAAUUGGGACAAUUGGGACCCGGAAUGUAUUGGGACAACUGGUACAAUACCUGCUGAUUGAGAUAAGUGGAACAACUGGUACAAUUGGUACAGUUGUGAGAAAAUAGGAAAUAUUGUUAUUCGUUAAUGACUUAGUUUUUUUUGGUUUUGUGAACAGAAGAGGAUGAGCGGCCACACAAACAUACAUUUUGAGUAUGGAGGAUGUUAUUAUAAGGAAAGAGAGGAGUUUAAAUGGAUAUCAAGAAGCUCCAUCUAUGCUAUAUCAUUUAAAACCUCUUUGGAUGAGGUAACAUAUCUGAUGGUUGUAGAUGGUAUAUGCAAGAAGAUUGGGGUAAACGAUAGUAAGAAGAAGCUCAAGUUAAGCUACAUUCCGUUGGUAGCUAAGCCACUCAAUGAGUCAUGUAUUGUUGAUGAUUGUGAUGUGUAUGUCUAUCUAACAAUUGUGGAUAAAGAGGGACUUAGAUAUGUAUUGCAUGUGGAGAUAAUGGAAGAUUUGGAAAGAGAUAAGAUUCAAGAGUAAUGGAAUAUUUUCAUUAUCUUGGAUUUCUUGCAAUAUUAUGUAUUUUGGAGUAAUUUGUAACCUAAAAAUUAGGUGCAACCUAAAAAUUUACGUCCAAACCCAGGCAAACUACGAACAACUAGGACAACUAUUUGCAACUAGGACAAAAGAAGGCACACUAGUAUAAAGUGGACAAUUGGUACAAUUGGGACAACUGUGAGAAACUAGGACAACAAGAACAACUACGACAACUAUGACAAUUUGGACAACUAGGACAACUAGGACAACUAUGAUAACCAGGACAAACUAAUUUCUUUAAAUUACUAAACAUUAAACAAAUACAGCACUAAACCCUUAAAUACUGUAUACUCAACGACUACCACUAAACACUAAAAUAAACCCAUUAUUUUCUGAAAAUAAGAUAUACCAUUUGUGUUUCUAAUGAAAUAACCCUUAUGGUAUAAGGCAUUCUUUGACAAUGGUUUCCAUCUUAUAAGAGGUUAAACGUAAAAAUAUGGGAAAUACAAAAGUAUGGGCGCGAAACCCUUGGGGCAAGUAUAAAAUGUUCAAGGGUUAAGGGGACAACUAAAAAAAGAAUGUUCUUCUUAAAGGACAACUGAAAAAACUUAAAAAUCGUCCAAAGGACAACUAUGACAAUUUUGGGACAACCGGACAACUAGGUACAACUAUGAUGUCAACAGAAAAUGCACGUGUGAGAAUAGCGGCUGAGGAUAAUAUUAUAAGUUAUUUUCCUUUGUAUUUGUCUUUUUUGGUUGUCGUUUACCGUUUUCUCUUUCAUAGAAAAGGGUCAAAGGGUUCUUCUCCUCUUAUUCUCUUUCCUAAUUGUUGCCCCCAAAUAGGUUUUUUAGGGUUUUCACCGCAUAAUGGAUAAAUAUCAGAUAGCCCUCGCGAAAUUGGCUGAAAAGAAGAAUGAUGGCUCUUCUUCUGUCUUGCCUAAGAAGGAUUACGGGAUGACCACUAGAUGGGGACCCGAAGUCAAUGGAGUCAAGACCAUUCUGCCAUGCCCUGUACAAAAGGGAAUUCCAAAGGUUUGUUAUUGCGGCUUAGCUCCAAUUGGGUGUUUAACUGACAACUCCGGGCUUGACAGGGGCCGGAAAUAUUACGGUUGCUUCUACGACUGUUGUGGCCCAAAAAAUUUCCCAGAAGUAAGUCAAUUGGGUUUUCAAUUUUGAUUUAUAAUUUGAGUCUCAUCUGAAUUUCUGAGUUUCGGGAUUUCAGGUUCCCAGUUGUGGCUUCAAGAAAUGGUGGGAUCUCGCAAUACUCGAAGAAAUUGAAAUGUUGAAUGAUACUCAAGAAGCCAUGCGGGCUUUGUUUGACACCGUUUUCUCCAAGUUAAAUCAGUUAGAGUCAAAGGUGGCAUCCAUUGAAGAAGCUAUAAAAAAGCGUUAAGGAUGAAGAAGAUGAGCUUUUCAGUUUCUUAUUGACCUUUUUUCCCCUUGUUAUGUUGCUACUCUCCUUUGAUUUAUUUUGAACUAUUUCUCCUAAAUAAAACAACGCAGUUGUACCAGUUGUCCUAAUAUAUCGCAUUAAGUUAUACGAGUUGUCCUAAAUAAAACAAGGAAGUUGUACGAGUUGUCCUAAAUAAAACAAGGAAAUUGUACCAGUUGUCCUAAACCCUAAACAGAAAACAUAAGAUUGUACCACAAAGAAAAACACAUAAUCUUAAACAUAAACAAGACAUUUUACUUCUUGGCUUCAUGUGGUUGGGCUCCUUGAACAUGUGAAAAACCCUGGCUGUACUCGGUUGGACCGAAGUAAAGCUUCUCAGGCACCAUCAGUUGACUACCAUCAUCGGCAUCCUGAGAUAAAAACAAGAAACACAAUCAUAUGAGAUUUAGUUGUCCCAGUUAUCCCAGUUGUCCCAGUUGUCCAAAUGCCAAACGUAAUUUUGUGUAAAUAGUUGUCCUAGUUGUCCCAGUUGUCCGUACCGGCUGGUUCUGCUUCCUUCAAUGGUUCUUCUUCACCCCGAAUUUCUUCGUGGGUUGUUUCUUCAUCAUUCGCCAGAGGGUUUGGUGUUAUUCCGGGUUCUUUAUCUUUCAUAUCUGCUUCUUCGCUGCGCUUGGGUACAGAUUCGUUCGAAUCAUAUACCACGCCCUUAAGUCGAAUUUUAGCUAUCUAGUUAGGCUGGAUUUAGGGUUUGUCUUGAUGAAGUUAGAAGGCUAAAUUAUGUAAUAUAUAGUAUGGGAAUUGAAGAAAGGGAAGUUGAAGAAGAAGCAGUUACAAAAUCAAGUGUCGUUUCAAGUUAAAGGGGAAAUUGCAGAAUUUUCGAAAGAAAGAAGGAAGUGGAGAUAGCCGUUCGGGGAAGAUGAAGAGAGAAAGAGGAGAUCGUAUUUGAUUUUUGGUAAGUUUAUCGAAUGUGUUUGGUUUUGGAAAUUAAAUCCAUUCGGUUCGGUUUUGUUUACCUAAUUUUCGGUUUAAUAAUUUCAAUUUUUUAUUUCUGAUUUCAAAUUGAUAAAGUCUUUUUUUUUUACAGAAAUUCUAUUUUUUUUGGUAUUCGGGUCGGACAUAAAUCAGGUGGGUUUUACUUUGAUAUUUUUGUAAUAAAAGAGACACAUAGGGAGAAGGGUAUAAUUUACCUAGUUUUUGUUAAUAAAAUUAAUUCAUAAAGAAAUUAAUUUUUAAAGAUAUGGUUUAUCAGCUAACUUUUUUGGUCUCUUAUGCCUUUUCAGCCGCGCGCUCCUAAAUUGUUUCCCGUACAUAAUAAAUCGGCCAUAUUUAAUCGACCUCCUCUCGCCGCCAAUCACCGUUAAAAACCCCUAUGGAUGUCGUAGAUGAUUGGGGACGAAAAGCCUUCGUCUCAUCUCCCGGAGAAUAUUCAGUUACUCCUUUCUUCUCGAACCCAUCAGAUUCGCAGCUACUCUUCUCUUCUCCCUCACUCUCUCCUCCGAUUCUCUCUCGCAUCCCUCACCUAUCUCACGCUCGGUUUCUCGCCGUCUCCGGCGUACCUCCGUCGGAUUCUUCUGCAAUCGAGGCCUCAUUCCGUAUCCCCCAUCCUAACGAUGAUGCCGAGAGGGUUCUCUCCUAUAAUCGCCUCCAGCUUCUACGUUGCCCCGUUAAAAAUUGCGUCUUGGUGUUUUUCCCCACAGGGUCUAACCUCGAUCAAAUUGGGUUCGUUCUGCUUUCCACCGGAGAUUCGGGUGCUAUCCGGGUCAUGGGUACGGACGAAGGUUACGUCUUUGUGGCGAAAGAGCGGUUCUUUUCGAGAAUUUUGAAGAUAUUUGUGCAGCCGAUUAGUAAUUUGGGAGCAUCUUCGAUGGAAUUUGGAUACGUAAUGGUUUAUACACUGUAUUCGAUUCAUUGGUUCUCUGUCAAGUACGAUGAAUCUCUAGGCAGACCGGUUUUGAGUUACCUCGGACAAAAGCAGUUUAAGCGUUGUUCGAUCGCGAGCGCUUCCUGGAGCCCUCAUUUUCCUGGAGAGUGUUUAGUCUUGUUAGAAAACGGGGAGGUCUUUGUGUUUGAUCUGAACCAGAGACAUCUUGGUAGAUUCAGAGGUUGCAAGAUGAAAGUUUCUUGGGAGGGUCAAGGUAAAUCAGUUAAUCGUAAUUGGCUAGGAUGUGAAUUUGGUUGGAGAUUUGGGAUUUUUAUCGUUGCUCGAUCCGAUUCAGUCUUUGUUAUCACUAGAAGCUCUGGAAAUUGUAGUGUGAGAUCUUUGUUGGAAAUUGGGAGUCUGAACAUUGCUGAAACAGAAGAGUUUGUUGCGUUUGCCAAGGCUGGUAGUGACUGUUUUCGGUUUAUUCUUGCUUCUCGAAGCUAUCUAUUUCUUUGUGAUCAGAGGUCAGAAGUGCCUUUGUUGAAAUGGCAGCAUGAUGUUGAGAAGCCUUGCUUUAUGGAUGUUUAUAGCUUGUCCGAUCUCGGGUUUGAGACCCAUGACUUAAAUACUUCCUGUGUUAUAGUAGGGUCAUUUUGGAAUGCGCAAUCUCAAAUGUUCUGUUAUGGACCUUCUCCUUCUGUUACCAAGGAUCCUUCUUCCUUGUAUGUAUGGGAGCUUCCACACAAUCUGCUCUUACCAGCCGGAAAAUGUCUCUGCGGAGAUUGUGGAAUUAAAGAAGUGAUAAUGAAGGAGUCUCUUCCCGCGUGGAUUGAUUGGCAGAAAAAGAGGGUUCUUGUUCUUGGCUUUGGCGUUUUAAACAAGCACCUUCCACUUGGGUCAUUAGAUCAAGCUUCUGGGUUUACUUUGAUUCGGUUAACAUCCUCAGGGAAGCUUGAAGCAGUCAACUUCUGUGCUUCUCUUGAUCAUUUAGAUAACUUGGAAGUAAUAGCUCAAGUAGAUUCGGCCUGCAAAUCUGAUGAGGUGAACUUAUUGUACUUCCCUGAUGAUGACAAAUACAAAUUUCCGAGACGGUUCAAAUAUCUGGAACUCGAUUAUCUCUCUGCUCACACAAAAGGGAUUCUUGCCGGGUUGUUAGACUCGAGGUUGAGUAAAAAAGCAUCAGGUUCAGAGAAGAGUGAUCCUUUUAACUUAAACUUCCACGAGGACUUAUGCGAAAAGUUGAAGAUUUGCGGAUUUGGUCUAGACAGAUGUUCCUCUUCUAUUACUGCAGUAUUCGAGAGUAUCAAUUCACAAACAAGCGUUUUCGACAUUGCAUUGAAAGAAACCUGGUCAAGGUUACCUAUGGAGCUUUUGAUGCUUGCGUUCUCAAGCUACUCUGAGGUUGAGGGUGUUCUGAUAGACAAGAAGAAACCGUCUCUCGAGUUCUUAGUUGUUCCGAAAUUCCCACAGUUACCACCUUUCUUCUUAAGGAAACCUUCUAGCCGGAGUAGCAAAUGGUCAAAGAAGGAGCAACCCGGUGUUGAGCUCAUUGGUCCUGUUCUUCCACUUCCAGUCCUCCUCACAUUACAAAAAUUCGAUAGCGGUUGUCCGGAUUCAGAAGAAGAGUACUCACCGGAUGUGGAGUUCUCUGACCGGUGCAACCAAAUCUCCAAAGCAGCCCGCGAGAUGGCAAACUCAGGUGUAGACGAGACAAUCAUUUCACUUGGCGAUGACAUGUUGGUCGACGAGUAUUCACAGAAGGAGAAGAAGCGGUUCAUUGCAUAUUCUCCGAUCACAAAGACAGCUGAUUCAGACAGGGAACAUCAGGAACUCACUACGUUUAUCUCCAAAGUGCGUCAUUGUAAAGACAAUGAUGAUCAUGGUGGUGGAGGAAGAGUAGGGCUUGAGGUGUUGGAUGAUAUGUCUCCGGUCGAGAUUUGCUUCGAAGAACGGAAUGUGAAUUUCGAUACAAAAGCUUUGUUUACGUUCAAGACGCUUCUAUCCGAAUGGCAAGAUCGAUCUUCUUCAUAUCAAAACUUCCUUUCUCAGUACCAUCUCCAAGAAUGAGUAAUAUCACCUUGUAACCUGUACACAGAAUUUUCACGGCUUCGUUAUUGUCUUCACCGACCAAUUUUGUAUGAUAUUUUUGAGGAUUAGGAAUUUAGACACCUUGUAACUCGGGUUUAGAAUGGAUCUUGACGUAUAUAUGGUUAUAUGGUUGCGAUCAUGGAGCUUGCAGGAGUUACCUAUUAAGGAAAAUUUGUGGGUGAACACUAUUUGACUGAGAAACUGAAGAAAUACAAAAAAUACAAAAAGAAAGAGAGUAAUAGAUCAAUCAAGAUUUGCAUUAGACACAACAUGCGAGUUAUCACUGAUCAGCAUCAUUAUCACUGAUACAGAUAAUAAAAUGUAUCUACAUGGAUAUUGUUGCAGAAUCUCAUGCUUUACCCAAAACAAAAAUAAAACAAUGAGUUCGUAAAAAAGGUUCCUACUUUGGGUUUAAAACAAAAAAAAGAAGUCUUAUUACUUGUUCUUCGUCUUCUUCUCUUUCGAAAGUCGUAAGAUCGAUCCUAAACCAAACGGAGAUGGACCACCGAUCACGGGAGUAAUCCGAAAGCUUCCUCCUCCUGCUUUUUCUCUGCCGCCAUUCUUUCCGGCGUGCUUUUGUGGCCUGAACUGAUACGAGCUGCAGCAGACAGAGGAAGGAGAUGAAGAAGAAGAAGACAAAUGAGAUGAGUGAUCUGCCCCUGGACGUGGAACUCCAUGUCUCUGCGAGCUAUGCUUGUUAAUGUCCCUUAGCAUUGCCCUCUUAGAAUUCAUCACUGAUCCUGUUGAAUUGCUUCUUGUCAAACGAGGAAAUGAACAGAUCAGACUCUUCUUUAUAUCGCAGUUAAGGCUCGAGCUUCUCUUGAAGCUCCAAAACGACUUUGAUGAUUUCUCUGCCUCCGAGUCCGAAUUCGCUCCGCUCCCACGACCGUUAGUUUCCUUGACGCUGCUGUAUUUUCUCGAGUUUUGGGGUAACGGCAAUGGCUGAGGAGUAAGAGAGGAGGAAGAUAAGGAAGGAGCGGAGACGAUAGGAGGGAGCUCGUACUUGUAGAGACGUUUUGGCAUGGAGGAUGCAGUAGUUACUUGGAAAGGAAGGAUCGGUAGGAUCAUCCCGUCGGCGAAGAUCUCAUCAGCUGGUGAGGAAUCUCCGGGGUCGAAGUUUCUGGAAAUGUGGAACUCGAAAUCAGGGUUUGAUGAAUCUAAAAGUGUUGUGUCUCUUCGAACAGGGCCUGAUGGUUGUUUUUCCAUAGGAGGUGCUUUAUCUGAUUGGCCGAGAUCACCCGCGAACGAGAUCCUCUGGUGAUUUGAUUCCGCACAGAUAAUCAUGAUGAUUGGUCCGUUUUGCUGGAGUUUUCAAAAACAAACGGUCAUGUUUAGUGAAACAAAUGAGAAACAGAGAAAUGCAGGGUAAAUGAAGAAAACACACCUUGUUUUGGAGGGAACAUGAAACUCUGCUCAGAGACUUUUGCGUAAAGGAAACGAUGUUUCCAUGAGAAGAUGAUGAAGGAGAAGGUUUAGGAGAUCAUAAUGUUGAGAAAUAUUUGAGAUUAAAACUCUUAAGUCUAUGGAUUAGAGGUUGAAAACAUCUAUUAAAAUAAUGAUUGUGGUGUACCACUACUGCAAGAGACAAUGAGCUUAGACAAAAAAAAAUCCAACAUAAUAUCUAAAACGAGAUUUUAAGGGUUGAAUAAGUACCUUACCUUCUACUUCUUUGUCCAAAGGUACGGUUUAUUCUCUCUUUCGUUCUCCUCUCUUCUCCUAAGCUGGAGACUGCUAACGUGAACCACCUUCAAGUCUUUCAAUAACUGCUUGAUCAUGGCGCUUUUAACUGCAAUCUGGUUUUGAUAUUCUACAGAACCGUUGGCUAACUGCAGAGAAGUUCUUGACCGUGAAGCACGAAAAUGCAAGAACAAGAAGGUUUCUGAAGAUUUUUCAGAUCAUUAUCAGUGUAUUAUCACCAUUGCAUUAUCUUACAAAAUAGUAACUAGAGUUUUUUUUUUUUUCAUACAACAGUAAACAAUGGAACAUCAAAUUUGCAGCAAUUGAGCUGUAUUUGUUACUCAGCUUACCAGAGAAAGAGAGAAAGCUGUCUGAAACCUUGGACAUGGUGAGAUGUUGUUGUGAAAAAAAGCUUGGUCUGAACCAUGCAAAGUUGUCAAAAUAUCCAACCGCAGAAACAUUGCUGCUCGGUAAGUUCUUGACACAAACACGCUCAAUGUUAGGAAGAUCAGAUUUUUUUUUUUGGCAUAAUCUUUUCCAAUUUCAGUUACUCCUGAGCUGCUAAUGCUAGGCAAGAACAAAAGUAAACAGGGACCAAAAAGUUGCAGAGAGCUGCAUUAUUUGUAACCAAAACAGCUGGAUAUUCCAUUGCCAAGGAGAUUACAAUUAGCUUUGGUAAUGAAAAAACCACAGUUUUGUCUCUUUUACAACAAAAGAAGAAUAUUAAGAAACCAAAGUAAAAUGGCUUCAUUUCACUAAAACUGGGCACAUUGCUACAUUCUUUCUUCCUUUUUACAACGGAAAGAUUCAAAAGUAGAAAACAAGAAGAGAGAAAACAAAGUCGAAUACAAUUUCUUGGACGAGAAUCACCUUUCAUGUUUCCGCAGCCUCGGGGACAUCGUAAGAGCCUGCCGUUACUUCUUCUGCUAACCACAAUCCGGGAAAAAGAGUCUGCAAAGGAAAUUCAAAAUGAAAAACUUAAGCAGCAAAACACAUCAAUAAAGAGAAAUCGAACAAAAAAAAAAAAAGAGGGAAACUUUACAUUCAUUUGCUUCUGAACCAUCCUUGGCCUCUUCUUUGGUCUUCGAGGAGGUCUUUUCCCAAUUAGGGCUGUGAAAUCCUCUUCGAUUUCUUCUCUCAACAAAGAAACAGAGAAUUUAACUUUCUCGUUCUUGUUCGAAUCUCCAUCACCACCAUCUUCGCUACCUCUCUUGACGCCAAUCUCAUGUCUCCGGAGAGAAGACUCGGCGAUCCUCGCCGGUUCAUCUCCCGGCUCGUUACAAGCAGCUCUCCUCGUCCUCAGAUUCCACGGCCGAGCUGCCGCGACGGCGACUUCAUCGCCGUUCCUUGCUUCUCCUCCUCCAUUUCCCAAAACCGAAACCUUGAGAUCGAGCCUUAGCUUGCCGUCUCCGGGAGCAAACUCACCUCCGGAGAUAACCACUCCUCCUCCAGUAACGCCGGGAGAUCUAUGAUCGGGAGAAGGAGAGGAAGAAGAAGAAGGAAAUGAAGAAGGAGAUCGAUGGUGAGGGAGCUUGACGCAGCGGAGGAAUCUCUGCUGACCCCAUCGGAGAUAAGGUAAGGUGAAGUUGUGGAGGCGUUUGGAUCUCUCCGGCGGCGGCGGAGGAAAUUCCAUUGAUUUGAUUGAAUUGAAGAAACUUUGUGCCGUGAAGAAGAUUCCUUUUUCUCGUCGUCUCCUCCUUUCUUUUACAAUUUGGUGAGUUUCCUUUGGAGCAAGUUCAAAGUUUUUUUUUUCUUGUUUUUUUUUUGUUUUCGUUGUGUAUUUAUUCUCUCGAAAUUUUUCUUUUUUAUUUAUUUUUCUGUUCGAAUUAUUCGGGGAAGAGAGAAAGAGAGAGAGAGACGCGAUUGUAACGUUGUACUUGAUCGAUUAUUUUUCCGACUCGUCUUUUUUUUUUUCAUCUGAAAGAUUAUAUAGAUAUCACAGAGUUUUCAAAAGUUUACAACAACGGAUCCUGAAAGAAACCAAAUGCUACCAAACGAGCAUGAAGGCUUAAUCCUAUAAACAACCAAAAAUUGAAUCCAAAGGACAAGCCCCUUGAUUCAAAGCAACAAGAAUCUCAGAAGAAAAAACCUUGAAGGAUGGCCAAGCUGGAGGUCGAGAAACAGCUCCUAUCAACUCUGAAGCUUCAGCCGCAAAAAUGACUGAGAUAAUUUUCAAGCUUUUCAUACUUUCAAUUGCCCAUAGCCAACUUUUCACAUGUGCUUCAACAUCGGUUGCAACAUGACUAAAAGCUCUUCUACUAUGCAACAAAACUUUACCUUCUCUAUUCCUCAGCACCCAAGACGCUCCACUCAAAUUCUUCCUUUCGUCCCACGAUGAACCAAUAUUGCAUUUAAGCCACCAUUUUGGAGGAGGUAACCAUUUAACUCUGUUCUUCUUUUCAGCUUUAGCAUUUUUAAUGUCUUCCGUAUUUCCAAAAGCUUGAGCUUGGAACCAUUGAGUAGUGUCUUCUCUGAUCUUUUCCAUUGUGUCAUUGGCUUUGUAAAUCAGACCUUCAAACAACAGCUUAUUUCUGUUUUUCCAAAGCAUCCACAAGAUCCAAGGGAAUCUUCUUCUAAUCUCAAUCGGCACUCUGUUAUUUUUCGCUGUUAUCAUCACAUCAAAGACGUUUUGAUAAACAGAUUCAGCAUUGAAACCAUUAUCAACGAUUGGGAAAUCUGACAUUGCCCAUACUUGCCUGGCCAAGGAACAUGUAAAAAGAACAUGAUUAGUCGAUUCACCUUCAAGACCACAUGUUUGACAUCUAGAAUCAACUUUCAUUCCUCUUGAUGUUAUUUUAUCAGCAACUGGGAUAGCUCCACUUAGCACUUUCCAUAGAAAAAUCUUGAUUUUUUCAGGAGCCAAACUACUCCACACAAUAUCUUUUAGCCCAAUCAGAGAAGGUUGCAUAGAAGCUUCUCUGAUAACCUCUUUUUUCUGAUCUUGGAGAGCUAGCCAAUACCCCGUUUUUACACAAUAUUCCCCACUUUUAUUAAAUUUCCAGCAGAAAAAAUCUUUGGAGGAACAAACCGGUUUCUUCCUCAUGAUGAUUUCAGUGUCUCUAGGGUAGAAUAGCUCCUCUAAUUGAUCUCUAUCCCAUUUCCUGGAUUCAAAGUCAAUCAGAUCUUCCACUUUUAAAUCCAAAUUCACAAAGAUAUUCUUCAUUAGAGGAGCUCUCAUAAUUCCAUCAUCAACCCACGGUGAUGUCCAAACACUCAAAGAUCUCCCAUUUCCCACCAUCUGCUUUAAUCCGGUUUUUAACAAGUCUCUUCCAUGGAGGAUACUUCUCCAACCAAAUGAUGGUCUAACUCCUAUUCCAGCCUGAAGAAAAUCUUGUUCAUCAUAAUAUCUGCUUUUCAAGAAUUUGGAAAAGAGGCAAUCGGGGUUCUGGAGAAGCCGCCAUGCUUGUUUGGCAAGUAAGGCUUGGUUAAAAAUUUGGAUAUCUUUAAACCCAAGACCACCUUGAUUUUUUGGCAGGCAGAUCUUGUCCCAAGCUAUCCAAUGGGUUUUCCUCACGUUCUCAAUCGAAUCCCACCAGAAAGAUGCCAAAGUACUCGUAAGAAUCUUGCAGGAUGACUUAGGCAAUUUGAAACAGGACAUAGCAAAAACAGGCAUUGCCAUGGCCACUGUUUUCAAAAGAAUCUCUUUACCUCCCUGAGAAAGAUUUUUUGCAUAGAAACCAGAAAGCCGAUCUUUCAUCUUGUCAUGAAUGUAUGCCAGCAUGUCGACUUUCGAUCCACUAAAACACUCGGGCAACCCGAGAUAUGUUCCUGCUCCACCUUCAGCAGAGAUCCCCAUCAUGUUCUUUAUCUUGACCUUUAAACUCUCAUCAAUCUGUUCACCAAAGGUUAUGGACGAUUUAUCCAGGUUAACGACUUGACCAGUUGCACAACCAUAAGAAUACAAGAUCUGUUGGAGAGUGUGGCACUGGUUUUCAUCUGCUUUACACAUAAACAAGCUGUCGUCAGCAAACAACAGAUGAUGAAUUGCAGGUCCAUGAGGAGAGAACUGAAUUCCAUUGAUCAACCCCGACUGCUCAGCUUUGUUAAGGAGAUGGGUUAACCCUUCAGUGCAUAAGACAAACAAAAAUGGUUUAAUCGCAGCAUGCUCCUUCUCAAUCUCAUUUUGAAUCUGAGAGUUUUUUUCCAAGGAGUUAGUGACAUUAUCCUUUUUCCAUUUACUCAAAGCUUUUCUACAUCUUCUGAGCUUUUCAGAGACAGUAGGAAGAAAGGAUGACAACGGAACACUCCAUGCUUGAGAAAUAGCGUCUUUGACCAAAGGCUUAUGUAACAUUCUUUUAUCAAACCUAAAAGAGCCCCUGUACGAUUCUUGAGACGUCUGAAGCUUCAUCAGAACCGGUCUAUGAUCAGACCCUCUCUUUUCCAAAAAAGCUUGAUUCGACGCAGGAAAGAUUCUCAACCAUUCCUUAUUCACAAAGCCUCUAUCCAAUUUACACUGAAUCCAGAGAUCCCAUCUUCUACCGCCCCAGGUGAAUCCAUUGCCUGUACUUGGAAGUUCAAUCAUUCCACAACCACUAAUCAUAUCAGAGAAACCUUGAAAAGAUUGAUCACUUCUUCUCGGCCCUCCUAUUUUUUCUCCAUUGUGUAGAAUUUCGUUGAAAUCACCAAUCAUACACCACGGUUCCUUUCUCUGAAUACCAAUCCUUAACAAUCUUUCCCACACCAUAUGUCGAAAACUGACAUUAGGAUUACCAUAUACACAAGAAAGCAGGAAGCUAAGAGACCCAAACUGUACAUGAAAAUCCAUUACAUUCUUAUCUACAAAUUUGAAGUCGAUUGUAAUGUCUUUCUUCCAAAACAAAGCCAGACCGCCACAUCUAUCCACAGGGUCAACAGUAUAUACACCAUCGUAACCAAGCCACACUUGCAUAUCUACCAUUACGUUUCUUUUAUUCAUCGUCUCCAUCAGGAACAAGAUCUCAGGGAAGUGUUUUUUACGCAUUUCCAUGAGUCUAGGAACUGUCAAAUCUUGAUUUCCGACUCGUCUAAAAUCAGCUUUAAUUUCGACAUAAUAAAAUACGUCCAUAUAUUAGGAGAAUUUUUUGGUUUAGAGUAGGUUUUAUUUUGGUUUGUUUUCAUUUGUUUAAGUAGGUUAAUGGCAAAGGUAAACGUAGCUUGAAAUAUUACAUUCAAACGUAAAUCAAACCAAAAUUCAGAUUCAGAUUAAUGCCUAUAAAUUAUUCAAAGUUUUUUUACCAAUUAAAGUAUUCACGAAUCAUGAUGACUAAAGAUGAAUAUGUAAAUGAAAUAACUUUAAAGAGGAUAAUUUAUUUUCUUAUAUACAAAUUAUGUACAAUUUUUUUAAAAAAAAAAUUAAAACUUAUUUACUAUUACAUGUUAGGUGUUUAAUUUUAUGAAUUUAUUCUAUUUUGAUCAUAUACGUCUCAAUUAUUCUAAUUAUAUUAAUUCACAUAAUAUAAAAUCUUAUUAUAUGAUUUUAAUCCUCUUGGAGUUUAUGCAAGAUGCAUGCAAAACACCUAAUAAAAAUUAUAUACAAAAUCUUUUUUAAAAAAUUACUAAAAUAUAUACAAAAUAAUUAUACAACAUUUGAGAGUAAUCGAGGAGGACAAAUGUAACCGUAGUAGAAAUACGUAUUUUAAUGACCUUUGUCUAGCUCAAUUACAGAGGUAAAAUCCAUAUAGAAAACCAUCACUGCUCAAGAUUUGUCAUUGCACACUUUGGUUUCGUUUAAAAAAUAGAUGUAUUUAUCUUUUAAUUUGUUAAAAUAACUAAUUUAACUUUUAAUUAUUUUCAAACUCCGAGAGGAUUAAAAUCAUAUAAUAAGAUUUUAUAUUAUGUGAUUUUUUUGUUAUGAAACUUCUUCAUUGUUGUGCGAGACAGAAAGCAAAACCAAAAAAAAAAAAGUGAAAAGAGAGUGAAAAACCUCUCAAAAUUCGUCAUUUGGUUUCGUUUUAAAAAUAGUUUGCAGUUAAUCAAUUAUCUUUUAGUUACUUCCAUGCAAAACAUAAUAAAUAUUUAUUCAAACUGAGAACUGAUUUUCUCUUCAAAUUUUUUAUUUAGCCAAGAAAAAAAAAAUAUAUCUUCAAAUGAUUAAUUUUGAAUUUUUUAUUUUCGUUACUAGUAAUUAGUAGACAAAAGUAGUACUAUUAGUAAUGAAAUUUUCAGUUUCCGGCUAAACUAAUUAGAUUAGAAGUCGCGGGAAGCGAAUCACCAGUGUAGUUCGCCGGCGAGUGAAUCUUGGCUUCUCCGCCAUGGAAACACGGCGGCAGCACUCUGAGGAUAGUCCAACUCCAACAAUUUCUCGAGGCAGCAAUACCGGAUCUUGUACCUCAACGAAUCGAAUCCAAAACCCAGACCCGAUCCCAAACGAUCUCAUCAUGGAGAUACUCUCAAGAUCGCCGGCAAAGUCUGUCGCGAGAUGCCUCUGCUUAUCAAAGUUCUGGGCUUCCACGCUUCGCAGCCGAGGUUUCACGGAUCUGUUCGUGACCAAAUCCUCGGCUCGACCUCGAAUCUUGUUCUCCUUCCGAGAAAACGGUAAGCUGGUCUUCUACUCGGCACCUCAGAUCCAAAAUCAAGACGAGAACUCGAUUCUUGUGGCCGCUAAACAUCACAUGGUGUUCCGCUUUGACUGCUCUGAGUUAUGCCGUCCCCUCCGAGGUUUGGUCUGUCUCACGUAUCUGAGGGUCGUAAGCGCGAGUACGAAGAAUACAGUGCCGGUGAUAUGGAACUUGACCACGGGACAUUCGUUAUCUUUGCCCAAAGUGAAGACGAGGAGGGUUGGUGUGAAAAGCUUCUUCGGGUUUGAUCCGAUUGGUAAACAGUUCAAGGUUUUGUGCAUGACAUCGACGGUUUAUUGGAAAGAGAGCUGUGUCGAGCACCAAAUCUUGACACUAGGGACUAAGAAGCUUUCGUGGAAGAUGAUAGAUUGUUCCAUACCCCAUUAUCCUUUAAGUGGUGGGAUAUGCAUCAAUGGUUGUGUCUAUUAUCACGCUUUAGUCCAUGAGGCUCAUGACGUGAAACGUCACCCUUUUGUCCCUCCUCCAAGCGUUCCUGGGAUUGUUUGCUUUGAUGUUAGGUCUGAGAGCUUUAGAUUCAUCAACAAAGCUGAGGACAUGCUAGUAACAGAAGUUCGGCAUCCAACUCUUGCAGAUUACAAGGGUAAAUUGAGUGUUCUUUCGUCGGAUGGGUUUGAGUAUGUUACUGGCGAAAGUUCAUGUCUUGAGUUAUGGGUUCUACAAGACGCUGAGCAACAUCAAUGGUCCAAGCAUAUAUACCUAGUGCCCACUAUGUUGAAGAAUGUGGUUGCAAGGACUGUGUUGUACUUUGUUGGAGUGACUGGUACAGAUGAAAUCGUGUUGUCGCCGCAAUACAAAUCGGACCUCGUGUUGUCGGUGCAACACAUACCGGACCAAUUCUAUGUCUUCUACUACAACAUCGAGAAGAAUACUAUCAGGAGAGUUGAAAUCCAAGGAAUGAUAAGGGAUCGUAGGAGAAUUCACAUCUCUCUAGACCAUGUUGAGAACGUGAACAUUUUGUAAAGUUCAUUGGCUAUUACUUCUCUUUAGGCUAGGCUAAUUGGACGACAAUCUCUUGUCUUUUAUUUUCUUAUGUGAUUCUUUCCUGGAUUUUGUAUCCAUCCCUUUGUAACUAGUAAAUCAAUCAGAGUUGUUUUAAGCUCAGAUUAAUUGAUCUGUGGCAUUUUUAGUUUUGAUUUCUACUAGAAGUGAAGAGAAAUAAUCAUUCUAUGGAAAACAAUUAACAACAUCAUACAGGCUGUCUUUUUCUUAUAACAAGCUCUGACAAAUUUAUAACUAUGAAAUGCACAGAUAAGAAGGAUAAAAUAAAAGGAAAUAAUCUGCUUUUUUUUUUACAGUAAAAAUUGUAACUAUUUACACUCUUCAACGAAAAAAAAAAGUUUCAGCUUAUGCAAAAAGGAAAAAAAAUAAAAAUAAAUAGUGGAUAUGUGGAGAAAGGGGGAAUGUAGAUGUUCCAGAAACAAACGAGUUUUGGCUUUGCCCAAAGCCAAAAUGUAUGGGUAACCUAUAAAUACGACUCUUCAAAAUCUUAACAUCUCAGAGACUAUACAAAUAAAAAUUCUAUCAACGGGCAUUUUUUGUUAUAAAACUUGUUCACAUUGUUGUGCGAGACAGAAAGUAAAACCAACAAAAAGAAAAAAAAAAAAAAGUGAAACGAGAGUGAAAAACCUCUCGCAUUGUUUUCAAGAUGAGGUUGAGCAGUCUGGGGCGGUUGUUUCGGACUUGAUCACACGGGUAUUGUAAGAACCGCAUGUACCGCACUUAUGGUACAACCAGUGGAACCGUGUAGUUCCUUUGCGUUCACAGUCAUUGCACAGAAUGUCCUGAAACAUUUGUAUAUGUGUCAUCCAGUGAACUGAAAGAGUCAAAGAAACAGUCGAGAAACAGCAGUUUAGUGUUUCUCACCUGACAGCGAUCUUUGUAUUCUUCUGGAAGCUCUUCUGCAGCUAACAGUGCGUCAAGCAUACCAAAAUAAACCUGUGUAGUUUCAGAAAGAAACGAAGAUGAAAUAGUUAAGUGAAUGAUAUUUGUGAUGGUGUGAUUUGUAGAUUGUGCUCUGAGAAACGGGGAUUAUCUUACCGCCAUAUCUCCUAGUGAUUUUCCACAGAUUGGACAUGUGUAGUGGCUGCAUGUGUAAGCCUGAAAGAGACCGGAGAAACAGCAAUUGUUUUGAUUUAAGGCGAUAAAAAUAUAAAUUUAAGUUUAAUGACAAAAAGAGAGAUUUGCAAACCUGAAAGCAAGCUGAGUGCAUGUAGUGGCCACAUGGUAAGGCUCUCACUUGUUCACUCGAUGUGAAUAGAAAUUCGCAGCAGAUGGGGCAAUUUGUCUCGAGGCUUUUCUCGAGGCACUUGUGGUUUACUAACUUUAUCCCCAGGCAACAGUUACAUGUCAUGCAAUGGAAAUAAUCGAUUCCCAGUCCCUCCCCGACCCGGCAAAGGUUGCAGAAGGGACAGUGGUAAACAGCCCUGAAGGAGAAUAAUAACAGUUUCUGAAGGUUAGAAUAGUUUUCAAGUUUGAUUUUUGACAAACCCAAAUGGCGUAAUUAAUUAUUAUAUGCAUCAAACUGUUGGGUUUUGCUUACCGUUCAUCAUCGAAAAGUUUGCAAAUACUGCAAUAGUGCUUUGCCAUUGGGAACCCGUCGCAUGAAGGCGUUGUGCAAAUGGGGCCAACAGGUUGCACCUUGAGACACCUCAUGCAGAGCAUUUCUGUCACCAAUUUUCUGUAGUGUGUUCCAAAUAUAAAGUCAUAUCAUUGAGAAAGAAAAACAAAAGAGGAGAUUCAAUAGAGGUAGGGAGCAUUGGCAUAAGAUCUUACCUAUCCAUGGAGUGGUCGCUUACUUUGUCAUGGCAAAAUCUACAAGUGAACAACUGACCACAACAUGCAGCCCGAAGCUUGCAGUUACGCUUGUAAUGCUCGCAUCCAUAUAUUUGCUUCUCGGGAUCUCGAAAAGAUGGGGAACAUCCCAAUGCGACUUCACCAUUUAAAGCAGUUUCUGUUUCCUUAGGUAACUUUUGCUGAGCCGCUAUCCAUCGACUGAUAAAAUCACCAACAACCGAAGUUUAAAAUAAGAUGUUAUUCCAGAAUAAACAAUAAUCCGGGUAUGAGGGAAAUGUGAAUGAGAUUAUAGGUUCGCUAUUGUUCAGAAGAUUGUUCAAUCAAGGACACACACACAUCAAUAUAUACAAGAGCAUUCUCGUAUACUCUUCCACUAUGUAAGUUUUAUUUUCAAAUAAUACAUGGGAUAUAUUACUGAUUUAGGUUCUAAGUUUAAGUCAGGUAUGCACGAAAAUGUGGAAUGAAGUAUACGUGCAGGGAAAUAUUAAAAGAUAUCUGACCUGGUCCUCCAAUUUUGUACUAGAUAAUCUUUUCUUCUUGGAUCAAGUGUUGUGUCCUGAUAGACCUUCCUGAUCUCAGCCUCUAGUUCGUUCUGAUUCAUGCGGAAAAUAUCUUUCCACCCCGGCUUAAAUAGUUGACCAGUUUGGUCUAAGAUUUCUUGAUGAUCAUUAUCUAUACGGAAAAUAAGCUUGACGUAAGCAAAAUAAACUUAGCAGAGAGAAACUACAGCAGCCGGCCAAAGUAUGAGUUAUGAAGUCCAAAGCUAAAACAUUUAAGGUCUACAUAAAAUACCAGCUAGAUAUUAAGUUGGUGAAAAAUAGUUAGGCAAUUGCUGUUACCUCUCUGUAGGAUAGGUUUGGAUGUUUCUAUUGAGGAUGAGUCGGGUGAUCCUUUCCAGCAUUCAUUGAGCCAUUCAUCAAACAUUGUGUUCUUGGUUGCCUGCUUCCAGGUAUCCAUCAUUCUAUUUUGCUCAUCUUCAGAAAGGGCGGACGUCACCCAUGGUAACAUAGAUUGAAGAACUUCCGCACCCGUUGUCCCGAUUAUACGACCCACAAUCUUGUCUUGCUCUUGAAUGGAGAAGUGUUUAUCAAAUAGAGGCCAGAGUUCCAGUUCCUCCAAGAAAAUAUGCUGAUCCAACGUGAUUUUAAUGGAUUUGCACAUCCCUUGUAGCUUCGUAGCCAGCUCGUUGUACUUCUUCUUGCAGUCACCGUCAUCAAUAUCAGCCUGAACAGUGUCAAUUUGAGCUACGUCCCCCAUUAAAGAAUCAGUCUGUAACUUCUCAUGAAGAACUGAAAGUUCAGUAAGAACACUAUAAAUAUCUCCAAACAACUUCUCCUCCUGUUUAUGGUCGAGCGUGUAAGAGUGACUGACAUUGUGAAGUGUCUCCUUCGAUUCCAACGCUGGAAAUAGGAUAUCAUCUUCAGCAUUACUAUGAGCCUUGUAGAAACCCCAGAGUAGGUGAAACCGACCAAUGAAUUGACGAAUAAACGUUUCAUCGCAAUCAAUGAGUUUCCCAGAUUCAACAUCCAGAAACUCCAGAUCUUUGCUUAUGGCCUUGUGAAAUUUGAAUAUUGUAGCAACCGGCCGCUCGGCAUGUCCAGUACCAAAGCUGUUGCUAUCCAUUUCCCAAACAAAGAGGCUGGAAUUGAGAGCGGGCGCAGCAGAGUUUAGCGCAGAGGAUCUCAUAGCUUUAGCUGCUGGAAGAGAACCAAGUCCCAGACAAUCACUGUUAACUCCGAGAUCCGGAACACAGCAUGACCUACCAUUUCCAGAAGGCUUGCACCCAUUUGCGACUUCAGACGAGUGAGGGGUGGCAUUCUUUUCACAAGCCAAUACAACAGUUCGCUUAGCUGGCCUUUUAUCCUGAUGCUGGCAACACGAUUCUAUACUCCUACUACAGCAUGGCACAGACGCACAAGCAUUACAUGACUGAAGGUCGACUUCUUCAAUGUUCUUUAGUGUUUUAGCAGGGCAUAAACCAUUCCCAUUUGGUGACAAGCAUUCCCCAGCUUUGCGUCCUUUGCAUGCCCAACCAGAGAAAAGAGUAACGAGAGCGGCAUCCGAUUUAGGUGCUGAGGCCACAAGGAAACCAUGUAACCGUGUAAGAUUGUGAGUAGCUAAUAAUUUUUUGACAAAAAUGUUAAGUUUCGUCAAAAAUUAAAACAGUAGAUUGUACCUCCAGCUUGCAAGUUCUUCAGAAAAUUCUUAGCUUCGUCUUCUGUUAAAGAUGCCGCCAACCACGGCAAAACACGUUCAAUCAAUCUCAAGGGCAUUAUACACAGGCUUUGGUAGAGAAGUUCUUGUUGUCUUUUAAAGCUGAAGUUCUUUCGUGCAAGGGGUAGCACCUGAAAACAUUAUAAACUUAGUCAACUAAAAUUAUGCCGAACUUUCAUAGUUUCACCUGUUUACAAAAUCAUAUGUCACAGCACAGCACUUAAAGCAAAAGUUCACCUGAAUUUCCUCGUUGUGGAAGUGCCUUUGAAUAGUUUCCAUUAUUUGAUCAGCAUGUGAGCAGAGCUUGGUGUAAAAUUCGGCAGCGGAAGUAGAAGAGGCUCCAGCACUCUUGAUAUUUUCUAUCAAGCAACGAAACUCGUUAAACUGAUUUUCUUCCUCGUCGUGCUCCUCGGAAAAUGAAAACUCCCCAUCUACUGCUGGGAAUAUGAUCUUGUCCUCUGCAAGACUGCAACAACAAAAGAAUAUAUCAUCUCAGAAAUAGACUCAUGCCACUCCAAUCUCUUUCAGAAGAUAGAAAAUUCUAAAUAGUAUGUUAUAUAAAAAUUUGAGAGAACUCCAUUUAUAAUGAUAAAAAUUUCAUGCAGAAACGUGCUUAAGCAUGAGAAGCGCAAAGCUGGAAAAGAUCCACAUGCAAAAAUGAAAAUUUUCCGUUUGCACCAUAUAUAAAAGGAUGCAACAAAUACCUGUGGAAGAUGCAUACUUCAGCAAUAUAUUGCAAGCGUUCAUCAAAUGCAGAUAAAUCCGAAAAAUCUCCAGAUAGCUGAAUCUUCCUAGCCUCAUCGGCUAUUUCUUUCAUCUCCUUGUUGAUAGACUUGUGCCAAAGCUUUAUCUCAUCAAUUGGGUGCAUCUGAGCAUAAAAAGAAUCAUACUUGGUAAGCUCUGGGUACUUUCUCUUCCCGGUCUUGGAUCCCUCACAUGCACACUGUGCUCUACUAGUUUUGCAAGGAAGCAUGCUGCUAGAAUCAAGACAGCACUGGAACUGAGAAUCUUCUAUGCGACAGGAAGCCGCAGCAUCUCUUUUCCCUCCCAACCAGGUGAAAAUAACCUUCAAGAAGGAAAAAUAUUCACACGACAAGCCAAAAGUCUUUCAACUGCUAAAGCUGGAUCGUAAUUCUAAAAUUUACCUGCUGAAGGAGCUUCUCGCCUGGAACUAUUUUGCUUAAGCACGUCUGCAUCUCCUUACUUUCAUCUAUAGAGAUGGAGGAAGAAAGCCAUGGAAGAAAAACGGCAAGCAUAUUCACAGGAAUGCUGCAGAGAAAUCGCCAGACUAUGUAAGCUUGCUCCUCAUGCUUAAAUUUCUCAAUAAGUAAGGGAAACACCUGUCAGCAAGCGAAGAAGAACACUAGUUUCAAUAAAGACCAAUACGUAAUCCUAAAUGUUGGCUCUGUAGUUAAUAGAAAUCAACAGAGAAACUACGUCUUUGCUGUGAAAGGAAAACAAAAACAUCAAAGAAAACAAGACCUGUUUCUGUUCUUUUGCCAAGUGCUGGCUAACAGAUGUCUGAAGUGCUCCGGUACAGCUCGCCAACUCCCUUCGGUAACUUUCAUCGAUUUCCGUGGCAGAAUUUAGCAGCUCAAACAGAUGAUCGAAAAGGGUGCUUUCACCCUUGUGUUCAAGAGAAUAUGUCUGGGCCACGUUCUUCACGCGUAUGUCAAGAGCUGAAAAUAUGACCUACAUCCACAGGCUUGCAACCGUCAACAGUUUCUCCUCAUAAUAAAACAAUACACAUAUGUUUCAAUAACUUCCAGAUCUCCAAAGCAACUCAGAAAAUCAAGAAAAUGAUAAGAAAUAAACGAACAACAAUAAUCAAGACUUGCAAGUGUCGGGUACUAAAAGAUAAAUAAGAUCAAAUCAGAUUUGGACAAAUUUGCAUUACAGUAGUGUCAAAGCAUAAGCAAAAGAAAACUUAACAUUGUUGGCAACCAAUACUAUAUUCGGUCAAAAAUCCCCCAAUGAGUCCUUUCAUUGGUAAAAUGUCAAAUAAGCAGAAGACGCUUUCAAAUUGUGAAUUCGAAGUUUCCAGAGAAUGAAAAAGAAAAUUAAAAUAGAAGGGAGCUAGCUUUUGGCAUUACCUCGUCCUCGGCAUUGCAAUGAUGCUUAUAGAUCGAUCUCAGGAACCGGUACCGUUCACGAAGCAGCCGGAGAUCAACAUGGUGGCCAGUAGCAAACUCCAGGGCCAAUCUAUGAAGAGCUUCAAGCUCACUGCAAACUGCCUUAUGAAAGAAGAGGAAAAUUAGGAUCGGCGAAAUCUCCUCCGCGUCAUCCGAGAACGAAUUCGCCACGGGCGGGCGAGAAGAGGAAGAAGGCACGGAGCUCGCAAGGACCGUGGUUGAUGAAGAUGAAACUCCUCCGCCGCCUCUCGCCGCCUCAAAAUCAGGCAACGGCGUCGCCAUUUUCCGUCGAGCUUCUCUCUUCGUGUCCGUCAACAAUCCAGAAAGAAAUCUCCACGACCCACUCUCCUUCCUUCAGCCUUCGUAUACGACCGACAAUUUUCAAAUCUGAGCUCGCUUCACCAUAGAAUUAUCUGGGUUUUUUUUGUUUUUCUGUGUGUGUGGUGUUGUUCAACGGAGACGAUGAGAACGAAAAAAAAAAAGAAAGAAAGGUCUGAUAUCGAUAUCAAUUUUGAUUUUGCUUUUGCUUUCUUUUGGUUUUUUUUUUUUUUUGCCUUUUUUCAAUUUAUUAUGGUUAAUCCUCAAAAAUACUUUUAACUCUGGCGUUUAUAUAUAUUUAUACGACCAUCGGCAUUUUAAUACAAGAAUACAAAUUAAAUAAUGUAUAAAGUGCUUGGGGAUUGGGUGGGUGUUUCUCUAUACAGAGGUUUUGUAGCACGUGGCCAUUACCAUCGCCACGUCGGAUGCUGAUGCAACCAACCCAGGUUGGCACGUGACCGAUCGCAUGUCGACACGUGCGAGCGUACCUACGAACGCAAAUGUUCCGCGAGACAGGGGACGCUCCGCUGGUUCUCGGAGAAAAGGACUUUAUUUCACGAGGGGUAAAAGAGUCAUUUUCAGAUGUUUGACGUGGCAUUUCAUGGUGCUUAUAUGGAAUUCUUUUUUAAUAAUGUCGACCUCUUUUGAUUAUAGAUUAAUCAUAUAAAUUGAUAAUGUUUGAGGUUAGCUUUUAAGGGAGCACUUCAAAAGAAAAGAUGAAUUUGGCUUUGAUGUUUUGUAAAAUAUAAUUAAGACAGAUUCGUAUUUUGUUCGUAAGUUUUCUAAAAUAUUCAAGAAUGAUGGAGAUGAGAUGCAGCACCCAUUCGUAAUCUAAAGGAGCCACAUAGCUUUGAUUAAACUAUUGCUUACCGGUUUUGCUUUGAUUAAUAAAUGCAGUUACAAAGGUUUGAACAUUUUUUAUUGCGUUGCAUGUGCUCGAAGGUUUUACUAGAUUGAGUUGAUAAUUAAAUUUUGUGCCAUAAUUGAAUAGGAGUAGUUAUACUAUUGCAAAUAGUAGUAAAAGAAAUGAUCGAAAAAUUAUUAUGUUCAUUAGUCAUAUGUAAUAAGAAGACAAUGCUUUCCAGGCUCAUGAGAUAAAUCAAACAAUAAUGACGAUCAUAUUUCACAAGUUAUUGGUAAAGAGAAAAAAAUUUCAUCCAAAUUAAAAGUUUGAACUUGAAUAUGCAAAACAUUUGGGAGGAACUUAGGUAGUAUAUCAAAACGUUCACCUAUAUUAAAUUUUAAUAAUAGAUCAGUUCCUUCAUUAUUCAGUUUGUUCAUAAAAAGUAUAUAACAUGAAAUAGUGAAGUUAAAAAACUUAUUAUAAUUUAAUUAUUAGAUGAGAUGCAGCACUCAUUUGUUCAGUAUAAUGUAUUGAUAAACCAAGUAAAAAAUGGUAAUUUGGUGAAAAGGAAGUGGUGAAAAGUAAAGACACAAGAGGGACGUGUGGGAAGUGUGGCGACAAUUGGGUAGCAACAAGUUCCACUCGCGCUCUCUUCUCCACAACACAUUCCUUUUUUUUUGUUUUCAACAAAAUAAGAAAAAACUACAUUUAUUAUUUAGGGGACCAAUUUCAAUAAUAAUAUUCAUUAUUCUUUUCCCCGAUUUCACAACAACCUCAUUAUUUUAUAUCUAUAACAAAUUAAGAAUUCACCGUUCUUGAAUCUUGACUAUAAGAACAAAAACGAGACUAGUCAACGUAUGUAAGCAUUUCAACGUUAUUACACGUAAUUUUGUACGUACGACAACCUUUACCCACAUAGAGCAAGUGAUAAGCAAUUAUAUUAGUAGAUACUUUGUAUCAUCUAAAGUUUUCUUUGAAUCCUUUAAGCUCAUAAUCAUAAAUGCAUCUACCAGACUUUUCGUUGUUGUUUUGAAUUUAAUCGAUCAUACUUUUUACCAUCUUAUAAUCACCUAUAGUUUCUUUAAAUCCUAUAGGACCAUCGUCACAGAUGGUAUGAUCUGUAUUUACUCGCCCAUCAAUGAGGCAUCUACCAGAGCACAACUUAAAACUUGUGAUCAUAGGGCUAAAUGAUUAGACCGAGUAUAUUAUUUAAGAGUAUAUACGAACCAAAUUAUAAAAUUUUAUUGAUUAUUUUAAUAACAUUUAGGUGGUUUUUGUUCCGAAUUAUGUGGAAUUCUAAGUAUCGUGCAAGUGUACAAUGCGAUGGGUUGGCUUUUAUGAUCCAUCAUCCAUCACUCAUUAUUUUCCUUUUCAUUUAUCUUUUUUCCUCAAAUUAUCUUUUUCAUCAAAGGAUAAUGUAUAUCGUUUACGUCCUUUUCUUUUGACAUACAUCCCCAUACCCGUCGCUUAUGAACAUUCUAUAUUUGACUUUACGUUUUUAUUUUCAUAUGAAACAAUCUCAAAAAUCUCAGUUAAAAAAAAUAUAUGGAUGUAGUAGGAGUCCAAUUUACCAUACAUCACGGAAAUUGUGAUAAUAUCAAAUAUGUAAAGAAUACCAACACUAUCAUUGUUGUGUGUGUCUUGUUCCCAGUCAGAACUACAAAGUCGAGUCCUAUAUACACGCACAUAAUCCUCCUUCCAAAAAUGUAAUUGGGCAAAUGGUUUUCAAUACUCAGAUUGCACUAACAAAGACAAGACAUUUCAUCUAAUGUGGAAAUCAACGCAUCACGCAUGACGCAUUUCCACUUUACAAGUAACGCACAAUCCACAUUAAAUAUAAAAAACAAUCAUUGCAGAUGUGGUUUAUCUAAAAAAAAAUUAACAUGUCCGGUCCAGUGUCGCGAAGUCCUACGCAAGAUAAGAAAAUUAGUUUCAAAAAUUUGAGGUUCGAAUCGAUGACUUCACUUAUACUCUGGACACUGAAUCUGUUUUUAGCGUACAAAACCAAUAAGUAACCCAAUUAUUUUCUAGUUAUUAAACCAAAGUUAAGAUCUAUAUGUUUUUUUGUGUUAAUAAUAUAUGUUGUCGAAAAACAUUUUAUAACCAUCGUAGAUAUGUCUUUUAUAUAUAUCAUCAUAUAAUGUAAUAUUCCUAUUACGUACGUCUAUCUAUGAUGAUUGUUUUUAUGUUUAUUGAUCCCGAACUAAAUCUUUUUUUUUUUGGAAUGGUUUUGGGCGUACUCGGUACGUAUGAUGUAUACACUAUGAGAAACCAUAAACUUACCAGCAUAAACAAGCUUUUCAUUUCAAAAUUGUCUCGUUGCACCAGCAAUAUGAGAAUUGGUAUUCUUCUUUCUUAAAUACUUUUUUUAUUAUUAUUUUAUAUGUCUUCAGAUUAUAAAUUUUUUUUAGUGUUUUACUUGUAUAAUUAGACACUCAAGAUUUGUGUGAAAGACUCUAAGAUAAUCGUGAAACUAUGGUAAAAAGAGAUGGGCAACAACUUCUGCACCAUUGCAUCAUUUCUCAUCUAAUAACUUUGUUGUUAUAUAAUUAAACCCCAAAUUUUAAUUCUAAGAAAAUAAAGACAUCAAAGUAAACUAACACACAAUUUAUACUAGUUCAAUACGAAAGUUAUAUAUCAACCCCUUCACUCGGAUUAAUUCGAAAGUUUACAAAUUAGCAUGAAUUAAAACAUGUCAUAAAUUUUCUCAUCUUUAAUGAUAUAUUAGGCUGCAUAAUUUAACAGAUAUGAUGCAAAGCAUAUUGUAAUGUAUGUACAAACAAAACUAUACUUUAAUUUUGCAUAUGUAACUCAGAAAAUAAAUAGUUUAAAUAGUUAAUAGAGAGUUAACAAAUGGUCAAGUUGACCAUCUUACUAUAAAUUUAUAAGAUUACCAACGUCCAUGUCUAGUUCCAGUGAACCAAUGUAUUCUUCUUGUUUUGGAAAAAAAAAAAACAGAAAACGUUGAAAGGAAAAUCAGAGUCGAUACUCCAUAUCUCAGUAUAUUGGAAUAAUUAUGCGAAACUACUACUUUACAUUAGAAACGACGUUCCAUGCCGUAUUUUCAAGUUGGAAUCUCCAUGUUCUUACUAUUAUAUUUAUUAUGUCAACUAUUUAUUUAAUAUGUUCGAACUUUAGAAUGUUAGAAGCGUAAACAAUUUGCUCUCUUUUUAGGGGAAAAUAAACAAAAAAUCUUUUCAAACCGCACUUCAACUUCAACUUUAUUUUCUAGCCUUGUGAAAACGACAAAACCUUAAUAGGUCCAUGAAAGCGAGAGCCUCCAUCAAUUCUCAUUUACGUUAAUGCAUGAUAAUUGUUAUUGCAUUUUCUGUUUUUAGAUAAGCUUAAAUUUAUUUUGGUUUUAUAAAGACAUAUCGUUUACGAGAAAAAGACAUGAUUUUUGAGUCUACAAUUAAGAAUACACCUUAAGUAAAAGAGAAAAUUAGGAAAAACUUCAUUAAAAAAAAAAAUUAGGAAAAACUAUGGUUAAAAGAUAGAAAGGUCGGUAGUUAGGAGGAAAUAUUCGGAGGUUGGGAAAAAAAAAAUGGAGGAAAUAUUCUGAGGUUUGGGUUUUCGGAUAAUGUAGAGCCAGCAUGCUAUUCUUUUAAAGGUGUGAUAGUUAGGUCGAACACUAUAAUAUGUUUUAAACUUUGAUUUAUGAACGUUAACAAUAGAAAACGAAGUUGAUGUUGAAGUUUACUGCCAAAGGUCAAAAGUAUAAAAUUAAAUACCUGAGUAUAACAAGGAUAGUCAGAAUCGUGUCUCCUUUAUGUUUGAUGAGGUAUUGGUUUCGGACCUUACGUUAAAAUACAUUUUAAAGGUUUCAAGUUUUGAAAUUUCUUUUUUGACUAGUUUGUUAAUAUAGGACCCUUUUUUUUGGUCAAUGAAAUAUAAUAAGGACAGCUUUUUAUACGGCUAUGAACAGUGUACGUACUAGAUAAUCUUUUACAUCUUGAAACUUUUUAUUUAAUAUAUAAGUGUAAAAUAUUUUAGACGGUAGACAACCCAUCAAUGGAUACCAUUUUUUUUUGUAAUAUAAUUACAACACUUUUUUCAGUUGUCUGAAAAUGUUAAUUGGACUUGUUGUUUCUUUAGGCCCAUUUAUUUCCCGUUAAUAAACAGGCCGCUAUUUCCAAAAGCCCAUAGAAAAUAAAUCUCCUUUCUCCUUCCUCCUCCUCUGUCCCGUUCGACUUUCAGGAUUCAGUAUUGUGAAAAUCGCGAUCAUCCGCAUGGAAAACCCUCAAUUCUGAUCUCCGAUUUCGCUCUGCCAGACUAUUUCGACCACGCCUCGUUUCAGCUUCCGAUCAUAACUUCAACUCUAGCAGUAUCCGAUUCGCUCUCAUUUUCCUCAAUGUCGUCGACUUCAAAUUCGCUCAUGGACAGCUUGUUCCAGCGCAGCCUCGAGGAUCUGAUCAAAGGUCUACGUCUCCAGAUACUCGGAGAAUCCACUUUCAUUUCUAAGUCCCUAGACGAAAUCCGCCGCGAGAUUAAACAGACGGAUCUCUCCACCAAAUCCAUCGCCCUCCAGAAACUGUCAUACCUCGCCGCACUCCACGGCGUCGAUAUGUCCUGGGCGGCUUUCCACGCCGUGGAAGUCGUUUCCUCAUCUCGAUUCGCGCAUAAGAGGAUCGGUUACCACGCCAUUGCUCAGUCGUUCAACGAUCAGACGCCGGUUCUGCUUCUGAUCACGAACCAGCUCCGAAAGGAUUUGAACAGUUCCAACGAGUACGAGGUGAGUCUCGCUCUUGAAUGUUUGUCUAGGAUUGGAACUGAUGAUCUAGCUAGGGAUUUAACCCCCGAGGUUUUUACGCUCUUGGGUAGUGGCAAGGCUUUCGUUAGGAAAAAAGCUAUCGGUGUGGUUCUGAGAGUUUUCGAUAAGUACCCUGAUGCUGUUAAGGUAUGUUUCAAGCGUCUUGUCGAGAAUCUCGAGAGCUCUGAUCCGCAGCUUCUCUCAGCUGUAGUCGGAGUCUUCUGUGAACUCACCACAAAAGAUCCACGAUCUUAUCUUCCCUUAGCUCCCGAGUUUUACAAGAUUCUGGUAGAUUCGAGGAACAAUUGGGUUUUGAUCAAGGUUCUUAAGAUAUUUUCUAAGUUGGCUUCGAUUGAGCCUAGGUUGGCUAAGAAGGUGGCUGAUCCGAUCUGUGAACAUAUGAGGAGGACUGUGGGAAAGUCUUUGGUGUUUGAGUGUGUUAGAACCGUAGUUAGUAGCUUGAGCGAUCAGGAAACAGCUUUGAAACUUGCGGUGGCAAAGAUUAGGGAGUUUCUUGUGGAAGAUGACCCGAAUCUCAAGUAUCUUGGUCUUCAUGCCUUGUCGAUUGUUGCUCCAAAGCAUUUGUGGGCAGUUUUGGAGAACAAAGAAGCUGUUGUCAAGGCUCUGAGCGAUGAGGAUCCAAAUGUUAAACUCGAGGCUUUGCAUCUUCUAAUGGCAAUGGUGAAUGAAGAUAAUGUGUCUGAGAUCUCCCGGAUUCUUAUGAAUUAUGCGCUCAAGUCUGACCCUUUGUUCUGCAACGAGAUUAUUGGUUCCAUUCUACUGGCAUGCUCCAGGAACUCAUAUGAGAUCAUAGUAGAUUUUGAUUGGUACUUGUCUCUUCUUGGUGAAAUGGCCAGAAUCCCACAUUGUCAAAAAGGGAAAGAGAUUGAGCAUCAGUUGAUUGAUAUUGGUACGAGGGUCAAAGAUGCUAGACUGGAGCUAGUUCGUGUUUCUCGAGCUCUGCUUAUUGAUCCUGCAUUGCUUGGUAAUCAGUUCUUGCACCCGAUAUUGUCCGCAGCUGCUUGGGCUUUAGGAGAAUAUGUCGAGUUCUCUAAGACCCCUUAUGAGAUUGCAGAGGCGCUUCUACAACCACGUACUUGUCUCUUACCACCUUCCAUUAGAGCAAUCUACAUACAUUCCGCUUUCAAAGUUCUUGUCUUCAGUCUCGGGGCAUACUUCUCAGCCAAAGAGCCCACUUCCUCGCCCUUGGUUCCUGAGUCUACUACCUCUGGCUUUUCAUCGGUGAAUGGUUUCACAUACAAAUCUAUCUCGAGUCUGUUGAAUAUGAUUGAGCUGGGAUUGUGCUCAUUAUCCGGAACCCUUGACGUGGAAGUGCAGGAGAGAGCUAAGAACGUUCUAGGAUUCAUUGGUAUGAUAAAGCAUGAAAUAGCUGAGAAAGUAACCUCCCAAGACAGUGAAACAGAAGCUUCUAGAGCCAUAGCAUUCAUGGAAGAUAUUUUCUCAGAAGAGCUUGGUCCUGUUUCUUCAACUGCACAGGAAAAAAUUCCUUUACCAGAGGGGUUAGAGCUCAAAGAGAAUCUUGAAGAUCUGCAAGAGAUUUGCAGAGAAGUUCUGGAACCAAUUGACGACUCAAAGUCAACUUCUUUCUCUCCCUCAGACAAAAUUAGCUUCUCUAUUGCUAAACUCAGAAUCAGAGAUCAACAAGAAGCCUCAUCUUCUUCAUCUCCUGAGCCUAAAUCUGCAUACUUACUCGCAGAACACAGAAAACGCCAUGGCCUGUACUAUCUCUCCUCCCAGAAGAGCGACGACCACAAUGAUAGCAAUGGCAACAACAACAACAACAACACGCUAAACGAAUACCCACCAGCGAAUGAGAUAUCGGUGGACUCAUUUAACCCCAAGAAGAAGAUGAACCAAUCAAAACCGAGACCUGUAGUGGUGAAACUGGACGAGGGAGAUGAAUCAAAGACGAAGCCAGACGCUAGUAGUAACGAUGAACCUUUGUCACGUGCGAUCCAGACCGCUCUAAUGGGGAAAGGAAAAGAGAAGGAAAGAGAAAAAGAUAACCACGAGAGAGAUCUUGAUUCAGGGGUCAAUGAACAGAGCUUGAGAAGAGAUAAAAAGAAGAAGAAAAACGGGGAGAAACGUAGUAAACAUAGAUCAAGACGACGAAGAGAUGAAGAAGUAAGUGCAACGAAACCAGUCGAAAUACCAGAUUUUCUCUUAUGAAUACUAAGUUUGGAGUUUGCGUUUCUGGCCAAAUUAACUGGAUGGUGUGUUUCUUGUUCAGUGAUUUUCAUGUACCCAUAAUUGAUUCUUUUGUGUUUAUGAAAUAUAUAUAUUCUUUCUUACAUUAUAUCGUCUCAAUUAUUACACCAUCAUAUACUUGUGUAACACUUGUACAUCAACAACAUAUUGAUCAUAAACCAGAAUAAGAAAGCAACAAAAAACUGAAAUAAGAUGCAUACAAGCAUCAUCACACAUUGUUAUUCUCAGGGGUACCACUAUCUUAAACCCCUACUUAAUGAUCGUGAUUAACAUCCUUAAACACAACACACACCAAAUUAAAAGUAGGAUUCAAACAUAAAUAGCAAACGGUUUCUGUUUUUUCAACACCUUGGGAUGGGGAGCUUGCAGCGGUUAGAGACUUUACGAGCGUUGGAAGAGCUGACGAAGCGACGGAGGCUAGGGUUUCUCAUGUACCCACACAGGCAUGGCUUCUGCUCCUUGAGCUUCGCGCAGCACAACGCUGAUGGUGGAGAAGACGACGUUAUCGCCGACGCACAUGGGCUUAGCUGCAUUGGCGAGCACGUCACCGCUUCUCCCGCCGGGACUAGGAUCACUAGGAGAACCGCCGUGAGGGCGAAAACUGAAACCCAUGUGGCCUUGAUGAUCAUCGCCAUUUUUCUUCUUCUUCUUCUUCUUCUUCUUCUUUUGUUUGUUUGAGAGUUUAUAGAAGUGUGUUUUGGUGUGUGGUUUUUGAUAUAUGUAUCUCUUUCUAUUUAUAGAGAGGGAAACUGAACAGUUUUUUCUAAUUUCAUUCUUCUUUUUCAAGAAAUAUGGAUUGAAAAAUAUUUUUCAAAAUCUUAAUCUAUUAGUGCACUUUAUUGCUUAUAGUGCGGCCUCUUAUCAUUUCAGUUUAGCAUUGGAAUAAUAUAAUUUACAAUCUAAUAGUUUCUACAGUGAAGUGGUUAAUAUAACAAACUUAAUAUUAUCAUGUAUCAUGUAUGAGCACGAAAACAUCAUGUAUUCCUACCAUAUAUAUCAUCAGAAAAUCGUAGGAAACAUACUUUUCCUACCAAUUUCCUACGAAAUAUUUGUAUAGGUUUUAGGCCGUCGGAAAUAAUAAAUGGUAAAAAAAUGGUAAGAAAUUUUCCUACGGAGAUUUUGAUAGGAAAUUUUCGUAGGAAAAUUUAGUCAGAAUAUCGUAGGAUGACUGCUACUAAUUUCCUUCCAUUUUCUUACGAAACACGUGACUUCUUACCGUUUUCCUACGAAUGUUUUCCUAUCAUAUUCCUACUAUUUACCUACGAACUAUAUAAAGAUAUUUUUAAUUAAAAUUUUCCAAAAUUAAAUAAUUUUAAUUAUUAAAUAAAUUUCAAAAAAAAUAAAUCCGAAAUUAAUAAAUUUUUAAUUAGUAAUCAAUUAGAAAUUAAUUUUAACUAAAUAUAGAGGUUUUUGUACCCCAAAUUUUGUUAAAGUAUUAAUUCAUAUAGCAUCCUAUUUAUAGAACAAGAGGAGUAUGAACUUUUCUCUACUUGAUUGAUGUGGGACUUUUGUUGCUUUUUUUUUUUUGCUGAUUUUGAUAGGAAAUCUGUAGGAUAUUAAACAAUAAAAUAUUUGUUUCGUAGGAAAGUGAUAGGUAGUUUCCUUCAUAUUCUGUUGGUAGAAAAGUGGUCAGAAAAUUUUGACGAAUUUUCUACCAUUAUAACAGUAAAAAAUUUCAACCGAUUUCCUACCAUUUUCUGAUCACAUUUCCUACGAAUAUUAUUUUGGUUGAAUAUUGGUAAGAAAUUUUUAACUAUUUUCUGACAAUUUUUAUCAUAGGAAAUUUCUUACCAAUUUUCUACCUUUUUCAUUUUUUGUCAUAAAUUCGUAGGAAAAUGGUAAAAAACAUUUCCUACCAAAAUUUUCAUAGGAAAAUUCGUAGGAAUUCAGCAUGUUUUCUUGUAGUGGAGGUUUUCUACAAAAUGCUUCUUAAAAAAAAUUAUGGAUAUUAAUUACAUAAGAUUCUAAUGUAUGGCAAAUAGAACCGUGCGAUGAGUUUAUAUGUAUAGCUAGUUAAGCCGGCAAUUAGAUUUGUUAAUAGUUUUCAUAAAAUUGUUGAUAUCAUGUCGCCCAAAUUUGCGCCGGUUUGCAUAAAAGAGCAUGGGAAUAAACAACAUUGUUGGUUUGUUGUGGACAUUAAGAACUCCCGUUACUCAUUUGACUAUCACGAUUAAUGGCGAAAAAUAUGGAGAAAGUAGCGUUACUAGUAUAUUUUUUCCUGUGAUUUUAGUCUUUAUACUAUACAUUGUACUGGUGCUUUGUCAACUAUCCCUCUCUUUAUAUUUUUGAAUGGGAAGUAGCACUACAAAUUUGAAAAAAAUCCAUUUUUAAUAACAAAAAAAUAUGCAAGUGUGUAGUUAUAAAUAAUUACACACUUGAUAUGCAUAUAAGUGUAUAUAUCUCUUGAGUACUCUAUCCAAAGAUAGAGUAAGUGCCCGGAAUGAGGCAGUUGCCUCUUUUUCUAUACCUUAAAGCACGGGACGGCACUGACUAUAUUUUUAUAUGUCGACCAACAAAACAAACUGUAUGAUAAGACAAAGAAAUCUAAAUUUUCUUUCUAUCAAAACACAGGAAAUACGAUAUAGCAUUAUAACUUAUGACAUGGGUUAACUUAAAAGAUAUAUAUACGGAGUAUUAAAAAAAAAACAAACGUGGGGUCGAAGUGUGAAGACUUAGGAAGCGAAAGAGGACUUUCGGUGAUGGUACGUACUUGUGUCGUCCCAAUAUUUGUUGCCGUCUCCUUUAACGUCAUUAUUACUCUUGUUUCUCUCACACACAUACACAUUGUGAUGAUACUAUAUGAUGGAAAAAUGCACACGUAAAAUAUAUAAACAUAAUUAGUUCAAUAUGUUAACAUUUAACAACAACAAAAUCAAUUAAUUUUAUAUUCCAAAUGAUGAUUUUGAGAAGAAGCGUGCGUUUGGGGAUACGUGUGAAUAAUCAUUGCCACAAUCACUCAUUGAACAUUCUUCUUUCUGCAGUUAUUUUUGUUUUUUUUUUUAGCACAAUUGUAGUAAAUUAAUGAACAUACUAUAUUCUGAUCAUCAGUGUAGCAUUUUAAUGAGAAGAUUAGUUGUUGUAUUUUCUUGGGUAACUAGAGUUUCCUAAGAUUGAAAAUUCAAAACAUUGACAAGGUCUACGCACCUAGAAGAUGAAUAAGCUUAACGUGUACGUACAUUAUUGGAAUUACUAACGUAGCAUGAAAAAAUAGCAAAAUCCUUAGAAAACAACAAUUUAGUCAUAAAUAUGAAAUGGAGUUAUUAAACGGUUGAUCGGGUUUGUUUGGAACCAUACUAAACAAAUUACGAUAAAAACGAAAAAUGAUGUAUAUAUGCAAGUAAAAGAAUAUAUAUCUUAAUCCAAAAACACUUGUGGCAAACAUACAAAUUUCACUAAAAAAUAUGUUCAGACAUUAGUUGUUGAAGUUGUAGGUCAUUCAAACAUGUGUCUACGACCUUGGAAUUUGAUGUCACUAUUUUUAUUUUUUUUUAUAUUUAUUUAAAAACUAGAAAAUGGAGGCAGAAUCUAUUUACUAUAUCAAAACUUAUAAGAGAAGAACAAGGCUAAAAAGAUAAGUAUAGUAUUGAAAAGAGUAAAUGAAAUAAUGAAAAGUGGGUCCAAAGCAUCGAUCGUGAUAGAAACUUUAAGGUUCUCACGCCUAGUGACUAGUGGUGUCACAAUUUGCGUUGUUAUUAUUGCUCCCCUUAUAACUAGGUGAAUCAAUUUAAUAGUCCAAUUAUCUUAAUGCAUGUUCGAGAUUAAAGAAGAAAAAUAUUUUACAGUAAUUUAUUUUUUUUUUUUACCAAAAAGAAUAAUUUAUUCUCUUUUAUGAUAUCUUGGUUAAUUUUAGAAAAAUAAUUUAUCAAACAAAAUUAGCUACCCAAUACAAUUUUAAACAAAUAUAUGUAGAUUUAUCUGUUGCUAAGGCAAUUAUGUAAUUGGACCUUUACCAGAAAUAUACAUCUAUUGAGAUUUUCACGCCUCACCAGUCACCACCACCACACCUACCAAAUUUUUUCUUUUUUCAAGGAAAGCAAUUCUAUUGAAUUCACUCUUUCAUUUCAAUUGCAAUGUACUGUUUUCGUAUUUUCUAAUAACACAAUAAUGAGUUUGGCAAGUGACUACAAUAAACUGUUGACCAAAAAAGAGAGACUUCAAUAUAAAAAAAAAUGGAAAUGGUCGACAAAAAAUAAACUCUGGAAAUGAAAUCACCGAAUAGUUAAAGUACCAUUCCAAUCUCAUGGUUAUCCCAGAACAUUACCCACUACUGAUUUUUCGGAUGACUGAAUUUGGCACCUUUUGUAUUUUUGUGUGUUUCAGACAAAAAUUAAUCAGAUCACUGUGUUGAAGUCCUACAUUUAUUUGCUAUGGAACAGAAGUUACAACGCUUGUAGGCUAUAUUUUAUAUAUUUUUUUUUGGGUUCCAACAAGGCUUGUAGGUUAGAUUCCCUAAAACAAACUGAAAAUUCAGGACCAAGGUCUAUGCCUCUUCAAACCAAAAAACCAACAUCAAACUUGAGAUUGGCUUACUAUGAACUAAUAAAGAAAGAAUCUAACUAGACUGAAGAAAACUCAGAAAGCAAGUCCAUUCCACUCAAGACAUCCUCCGUGACCGCCUUCAUCUGUAAACUCGUAGACAGCACCCGAUGCUGCCAACAAAACCACCAGCAUUAGACUUUGAAUCUCAAUUGAUGGUUAGCGUUUCACAAGACGAACUCGUUUGUGUUAAUUUUUGAACAAUGGCGUAAACAAAUCGCGGAGAAUAUGGGGCUACAAGCCAGGCAUACUUUUAACAGGGCAAGAUACAAGAUGGAGAAACCAGAGAGUAUUACCUUUGUAGCCACCUUGAACGGGAUCAUCAGCCAGAAGAAGUGGUGUGUCCAAGUCAAUGAAUCUGUAUGUCAUGUCUUAACGUGUUAGAAUUAUAUAAUAGUGAACUUAGCAAUGAAAUGCGAUGUUUACAUAUUAAGUACCUGAAACACCCAAUGCCGGCAGCAAGGUGACCGGAGAACCCCAUUGCUAAUCUAGUCUCCACCAUUCCCCCUAUCAUAAGCUCAAUUCCAGAUGAUCUAGCCAAUUCAAUUACCUCAAGGGCCUCGAGGAUACCGGUUUUGGCGAGUUUAAUGUUAACAACAUCUACGACAUCACCUUUUAUGAUUUUCUUGAGAUCAGUCAAGUCUCUACAACUCUCGUCUGCUGCAACAGAGACUCUGAAUCUGUUCUUUGCAAUUCGAGUCACGUCACGGAGACCUUCCCAAUUGUCUCUGUGGACGGGUUGUUCAAAGAGAACCGGUGUAACCUUCAUUUCUGGGACAAACAGUCACAACACUUCAGGUUUUUGACCGAGGAAAGAAAGCUCGGCUAAAAAUCUUAGCAGGUUGAGGAUUUUCCAAAAGCUCAUGCCUUGAAAACUUCUCGCGUUCAAGUAACAAGUGAGAAGUCUCAAAAAAUGAUUCAAAGAUCUUUUUUUUUACCAUGAAGCUUUUCGAGAACUUCAAUAGCUUCCUCUGUUUUGUAACCCUCGUUUGCAUCCAAAAUGAAGGAACAUGCAGGGUGGACUGCACGUAUAGCCUGGAGAACUUCUAUGUCGGCCUUAAGGUUCUUCCCUACCUUAAGCUUCAAGGUUUCAAACCCUUCUUUUCUGUACUUCAACGCCAAACUCGAAGCUUCGGCGGGAGAAACUAUCGGAAUCUGAACAUAGACCAUCACAAAAAAUCUUUUAGAUCCACAUCUAUGAAAAUUACACAAACCGUCAAUACUUAAAUACUCUAUGCAGAAUUUUCCGGCCAUUAACAGUCUAAAAACCAAUCAAAGUUCCAUCAUCAAACACUAGGAAUGCAGUUGAACACAUAUCACCUAAUCUAUGCUCAUAGUUCUUUUACAUUGCGAACUUGUACCCGGAAAAACCAAGUGGAAUAUGUACCCGGAAGAGCUAAGGUAAGAACCGAACUGUUAUGUCGGUGGUAAUCGUACUUGAAGCCCCACCAAAUAGUUUCCACAAUGGCAUUCCUACUCUCUUAGCUGCUGCAUCGAUCAUUGCCAUCUCCAUCCCUGCUCUUACCUUCAUCCAUUUCAACAUUUCCUUUAUUGUGAGACUAAGAUUUGUUUUCUUCCCAACGAGGUUUCCAAAUAAAACAGAGAAAAAAAACUAAAACCCAUCUCACAAGAUUUACACUUGUCUCUAGUGUAAACCACAGCCAAAGCAAACCCGAUAUGCCCAAAAUGGAAUUUCAAAUUGAAGCUCAAAAUCAAGUUUUUAGCAUGCCAUGCAAAGACCAGAAUAUAAGUAGAAACGUUAGACUUACAGAGGCAAAUCGAUGGCCAGGGAGAAAUCCACCAAUCUCCUGAAGAACAUUACCAAGUUUCAUCUCCGGUAACUCGUUUAGAAACUCACAGGCUUCCCGCGCUUUAACCAUGGCCAUAAGCUGAUCCUCCGCCGUCACUGACGGCAAGAUCGGAGCCUCUCCCCAGCCGACACAUCCGCCACUAAGCUCAACCCGAAUCGCGACAUUACCGACUGAAUCGAGCCGCGACGAAGCGAUAGUGAAGGGCGAGAGCAGAGGCACGUUCAGCUCACGGUUCUCUGCUCUCUGCACCCUCACCGUCAAAUUCUCCGUCAGAGUUUUGAAUCCAGACGCCGCCGACAUAACAUGGACCAGCGAUCUCGGCGAGUUCUGGAAAUUGAAGCUUGAAUUGACGAUUGGAGAAGAAGAUACGAUCGAAAACAUCUUUGCUUUAGAGCAAUUUAGAGUAUUUAACAUUCUCGCCCAUAUAAAGUUUGUCUUCAGUAGGGGUGAUUGAAUUAGUAACACCGAAUCGAAUUAAACGGAACCAAGCAAUACGGUUUGGUCUGGUUAUAUCAUAUUAACAAGUUUUUUAAUUUUUUAGCAGAGAAUUGGGAAGUUAGUUUGUAGGCUUUCUAAUGGGCUCAAAUUGACCUCAUGGGCUUAGCAUAUCUCUUACAAACUCAGUUGUUUUUACCGACAAUUUAAAAAAUCGAUUGGAAACUAACAAUGGAAUUUCUAAUUACGUUUUCCAGUCCAUUAAUCAUUUGACCAAAUUGUUAGAGAGCGAGUUAUAUAUAGAAGAAAUUAGCUCAUACAUCCAGUAAGAAACAUUUGAUAUUUAUACAAUUUGGUAGAUUGUUUUGGUUUUGGUUCUGAUUCCAGUUUUUUCGUCUGAAUUGGUUUUAGGGUCUGAACUAACGUAAGAAACCAAAUCCGAAUCAAAGUCAAACUGAGGAUACGUACGAUUUAGAGUUUAACAUUGUUUCUCAUUUACAGUAAGUUGAUUAAGAAACGCUUAAAAAGAAGAGACAUCUACUUGCCACAAAAAAAACUAAACGAAAUCCUCUCCGCCCAAAAAACGACACAACAACCAUAGAUGACGAAAACGCCAUGAUGUGUUCGAUUCAGAACAAUAUCAGAUAUGAAAGAUACCCCAAAAAAUAUAAGGGAAGCAAGUUUAUUUCUCAGAUGAGAAAUGUGGAAGUUCAUGUUGAGGCAACAAAGAUUAGAAUUUGACCUGGACUUUGCAUUUGGAAGAAGCUCUGGGAAGCAUUAGGAGAUCUGACAUGAUCUGGAGCUUUCUAUCUGUUCUUGCUUGAACAUGAAGUUCCAACAGCUCAAGAUACGGCAAAUUCUCCAAGAUAAGCUUUAUGUGCAACAUACAAUCGGUAUCUCCUUCGAACUCUGUUAUCUUUAGGGUCUCAAUAGGGCAUAACUUGAGAAAAGAAUACCCUGACAAGCAAUCGCAAACAGGUUCUUGAGGAACAAAGUGCAAGCAACCCUGAAAACAAAAAUUAGACGAGAAUUUUGAGUUUGAAGAUUAUAUGAGUUUUCAAAACUCGUUUUUGUUUGUCCAAUGAACUUUUGAGGGUCAUACCUCAAUGGUGAGUGUCUUAAGAUUUGGAGAUUUCUCAAGCACAUUCGUCAGAGGAAACCAGCAGUAAUCGGGCUCAGUACUAACUUCAAAAUGAAGCAGGUUUUCAAACAAUGGGAUUGCUUCGCUGGAGCAGGAGGAAUCAAACAUCUGGAACAGAAUAAACAACAACUAGUCAGUCAUAGCUUCAACAAAACAUUCUGAUGUGUAGCAAGAUUUUGAUUUUAAUAUAUCUCAAUGGAAGAGCAAGAAGAAAUCAGCAGAGUUGGCUUACCAGCAUCGUGUCGACAUUGACACACCUCAGAAUCUGGACAUUUUGUAACCCCUGAAUCAGAUUUUUAAGAUCAUAACCCCCACCAUCGAAAAAAAGAAAAACGUCGAACGUAGCUUCAACAAGGGAGUUGAAAUUAACAACUGGAUACCCAUCUCGAAGAACAUCGUAGUUUUCCAAGUAUUCAAGACUCGGAGUAUCAAAACUAAUAGCCUCAGAAUUAACUUCGUUAUGAUCACCAGCCAAUACCUCACGCGAUAUAGUAAGUCUCUUAAGGGUCUGGCUAGACACAGUGCGAGACCAAUUCCAAUGAUCACUGACACGGCCAUUGAUGACUAACUCCUCAAGCACAGAGCAAGCAGAAAGAAGCCUUUGGAACACACAACCACCAUCAAGACUAUCGAACCGGACUGAAUCAAGAAUGAGAGUCUUAAGAGCUGGAAGCGAAGCAUUCAGAGGGAUGGUGUCAAUAACAAAACCAGACCCUAGUUCCAGUGUCACAACGCUCUUGCAAGUGAAGACCUCAAAAGGCAGUGGAUAGUCUUCUUUAGCAUUAAUGUCCAACUCUAGAUCCAAGACACCGCGCUUCAAAACAUUGCGUAGACAAUCAUUGACAGGAUUAUAAUAAGGACGAUUACCCUCAUCUGGCAAUUUCAGAGAGAAUCUUCUUAGACGGUGAUUGGCGUGUAGAGACAAUAAUUCCUUAACGAAAUCAUUUAAACUUCCGCUAAUCUUGGACUUGAGUACAAAAAAUUCCCGAUUCGGUAUGAUGCUAAUCAGAUUCCGCCAUUUCUUUGCGGCUAUCUGUGCGUGCGCAGCUUGCUUUGCCGUAAGGAAGGACGAGAUGUGGCGAAUAACGUCGUCUGGUAGAUCGAUGAUUCUAGUUUUCUUCAUACCUUUCGAAAACCCUAAAACAACUCUUCUCAGUACCCAGAAAAUCUCUAUUUCUAAUGGAACCUUCAACGACUUGACUCCAACAUCCAACCCACCACAAUUCGCGAAGUAGAUAACCAAUGAUCAAUUUAUAGAUGCAGAAGAACUUACUUCACAAUUCCGACUACAUGAAGGUGAUCAAGCACCAAUCAUCGCAAACGUGUGUAGACGACGACAAAAUACCGAUCGAUUCUUCACUCGCACCUUGAAAACUGAAACGAACUGUGCAGAAACAAAGAAAAAAUGAAGCGAAGAAGACGACAAUGACCGAUCGAUUUUUCACCCGAAGAGAAAUUCCAUCUUCCAAAGCGAAAAAUCGAGGAUGAAUCAGAGAAGAAUCGUAGCACUGUUCUUGAGAGAACAUAGAAAGAGAAAGAGAAAAUAAAACGACUAGGAGAAAAUUUUAACCAACAUAAAUGCUUUCUCGUUUUCGUGUAUAAAAUUUCUAAUCCAAUGAUUUUGCGCCAGCUGUAGUCAUCCACUCUCGACUAUAACUGAAUCCAGUUUCUCGUUUGUUAAAGCAUCAUCACGCGCUUUGACCCACCUUGCAGUCACGCGCUUGAGUCGUAAGCUUGGGCUUGGCCAGGCCCAUUUUCUCUUUUUCUUCAUCCUGAUUUUAGAAAAUUAUUACAUCAUUUUGCCUUAUUUCUUGUCGUGUUAAGGCAUCAUAAAUUAUUUUCCAUUUAGGAUAUCUUAGCUAAAUAGAAAAGUAAUUUAACAAACAAAAUUAGCUAACCAUUACAAUUUUAGAUAGACAUUUGUAGACCGUUUGACAAAAAAAAAAAGAAUAAGUUGACAGCAAAAAAAAUUCUAGACCAACGCAAUUAUGUAGUUAGACUUUUACCAGAAAUUUACAUAUAUUUGAGAUUUUCACGCCUCACCAGUCACCACCACCACACCUACCAAAUAUAUAUAUAUAUUUUUUUUCAAGAAAAGCAAUUCAUUUUGAAUCUACUAUUUUUCGAUUAUUUUUUACACAAUAAUGACUUUGGCAAGUGACAACAGCAAAUUAUUGACCAAACAAGAAAGAAAUAUACUCCGAGAAGGAAAUCACCCAAUAGUUAGACAACCAUUUCAAAGUCACGGUAAUUCCCACAACAAUACCCACCACUGAAUUUUCUGAUGAGUAAUUUUGUCAUCAAAUCGAAAUGGUAAUUAAGAGAGAGAGAGAUCCAAACAAGAAACACUUAUUAUUGUGACCUAUAAGCUAGUAUUAUUUUUCACUACGAAUUUGACAUCUUUUGUUUGUUUGUGUGUGUGUGUGUUUCAGACACAAAUCAAUCAGAUCAUUGUGAUGAACUCCUAUAUCUAUUUGGUACUCCAUCGAAUAAAAGUUACAAAGCUUAUAGGCUAGCUACAUUCACUAACGUAAACUGAAAAUUCAGGACCCUUCGAGCUUGUAGGUCUAAUGCAUCUUGAAACCCAAAAAACAACAUCAACCUUAAUUGGCUUACUAUGAACUAAUAUAGAAAGGACCUAACUAGACUGAAGGAAACUCACAAAGCAAGUUCAUCCCACCCAAGACAUCCUCCGUGACCGCCUUCAUCUGUAAACUCGUAGACAGCACCUGAUACUGCCAACAAAACCACCACCAUUAGACUACAAAUCUCAAUUGCUGGUUAGCAUUUCACAAGAAGAAUUCAUUUGUGUUAAUGAUUGAACAACGACGCAGACAAAUCGCGAAGAAGAUGGUGCUAACAAGACAUGCAUACUUUUAACAGGGCAAGAUACAUCAGAAGAGUAUUACCUUUGUAGCCACCCUGAACGGGAUCAUCAGCGAGAAGAAGUGGUGUGUCCAAGUCGAUGAAUCUGUAUAUCAGGUCUUAACGUGUUAGAAUUAUAAUAGUCAAAUUAGCAAUAAAAUACGAUGUUUACAUAUUAAAUACCUGAAACACCCAAUGCCGGCGACAAGGUGACCGGAGAACCCCAUUGCUAGUCUAGUCUCCACCAUUCCCCCUAUCAUAAGCUCAAGUCCAGAUGAUCUAGCCAAUUCAAUUACCUCAAGGGCCUCGAGGACACCAGUUUUGGCGAGUUUGAUGUUGACAACAUCUACGAUGUCACCUUUUAUGAUUUUCUUGAGAUCAGUCAAGUCUCUACAACUCUCGUCUGCUGCAACAGAGACUCCGAAUCUGUUCUUUGCAAUUCGAGUCACGUCACUGAGACCUUCCCAAUUGUCUCUGUGGACGGGUUGCUCAAAGAGAACCGGAGUAACCUUCAUUUCUGGGACAAACAGUCACAACACUUCAGGUUUUGACCGAGUCAAUAAAGCUCGGCUAAAAAUCUUAGCAGGUUGAGGAUUUUCCAAAAGCUAAUGCCUUGAAAACUUCUCGCGUUCAAGAACUAAGCGAGAAGUCACAAAAAGUGAUUCAAAGAUCUUUUUUUCUUUUACCAUGAAGCUUUUCGAGAACUUCAAUAGCUUCAUCUGUUUUGUAACCCUCAUUUGCAUCCAAAAUUAAGGAACAUGCAGGGUGGACUGCACGUAUAGCCUGGAGAACUUCUAUGUCGGCCUUAAGGUUCUUCCCUACCUUAAGCUUCAAGGUUUCAAACCCUUCUUUUCUGUACUUCAACGCCAAACUCGAAGCUUCGGCGGGAGAAACUAUCGGAAUCUGAACAUAGACCACCACAAAAAAACUUUUAGAUCCACAUCUAUGAAAAUUACACAAACCUUCAAUACUUGAGUAAUCUAUGCAGAAUUUUCCGGCCAUUAAGAGUCUACAAACUAAUCAAAGUUCCAUCAUCAAACACUAGGAAUGCAGUUGAACACAUAUCAUUUAAUCAAUGCUCAUAGUUCUUUUACAUUGCGAACUUGUACCCGGAAGAGCUAAGGUAAGAACCGAACUGUUAUGUCGGUGGUAAUCGUACUUGAAGCCCCACCAAAUAGUUUCCACAAUGGCAUUCCUACUCUCUUAGCUGCUGCAUCGAUCAUUGCCAUCUCCAUCCCUGCUCUUACCUUCAUCCAUUUCAACAUUUCCUUUAUAGUGAGACUAAGAUUUGUUUUCUUCCCAACGAGGUUUCCAAACUAAAACCCAUUUCACAAGAUUUACACUUGUCUCUAGUGUAAACCACAGCCAACGCAAACCCGAUAUGCCCAAAAUGGAAUUUCAAAUUCAAGCUCAAAAUCAAGUUUUUAGCAUGCCCAAUAAUGAUUCAAUCGAAUUGGAUUUUGAUGGGAAAAGCAAAGUUCUAGCCAUGCAAAGACCAGCUACAAGUAGAAACGUUAGACUUACAGAGGCAAAUUGAUGGCCAGGGAGAAAUCCACCAAUCUCCUGAAGAACAUUACCAAGUUUCAUCUCCGGUAACUCCCUCAGAAACUCACAGGCUUCCCGCGCUUUAACCAUGGCCAUAAGCUGAUCCUCCGCCGUCACUGACGGCAAGAUCGGAGCCUCUCCCCAGCCGACACAUCCGCCACUUAGCUCAACCCGAAUCGCGACAUUACCGACUGAAUCGAGCCGCGACAAAGCGAUAGUGAAGGGCGAGAGCAGAGGGACGUUCAGCUCACGGUUCUCUGCUCUCUGCACCCUCACCGUCAAAUUUUCCGUCAGGGUUUUGAAUCCAGACGCUGACGACAUAACAUGGACCGGCGAUUUCGGCGAGUUCUGGAAAUUGAAGCUUGAAUUGACGAUUAGAGAAGAAGAUGCAAUCGAAAACAUAUUUGCUUUAGAGCAAUUUAGUAUUUAACAGUCUCGCCAUAUAACGUUUGUCUUGAAUUCUUGAUUAAAUUAGUAAGUAGUAACACUAACACCGAAUCGAGUUAAACGGAACCAAACCGAAAAGGAGCAAUAAGGUUUGGUUUGGUUAUAUCAUAUUAAAAAGUUUUUUUAAUAAUUAGCAGAGAAUUGGAAAGUUAUCAGGUAGGCUUUCUAAUGGCCUCAAUUGACCUGAUGGGCUUAGCAUAUCUCUUACAAACUCAGUUGUUUUACCGACAAUUUAAAACUCGAAUGGAAACUUACAAUGGAAUUUCUAAUUAUCAUUUGACCAAAUUAUUAGAGACCGAGUUAUAUAUAGAAAAAAUUAGCUCAUACAUCCAGUAAGAAUCAGAUGAUGUUAAUACAAUUUUGUAGAUUGUUUUGGUUUUGGUUAUGAUUCCAGUUUUUCCGUCUGAAUUAGGUUUUUGGUCAGAAAAUGUUUUUUUAAACGUAAUAAACUAAAGAAGACAUCAACGCAAAUUGUUUCUCUAAGUUGAUUAAGAGGCGCUUAAAAAGAAGACAUCAAAACAAAUUACUUGUCACAAAAAACUCAACUAAAUCCUCUCCUGCCAAAAAACGACACACUAACCAUAUAUGGAUGUGUUCGAUUCAGAACAAUAUCAUCAGAUACGAAAGAUACCCCAAAAGGAAAAGGGGAUGCAAGUUUGUUUCUCAGAUCAGAAAUGGAAGUUCAUGUGGACGCAACAAGAUUAGAAUUUGAAGUGGAAUUUUCAUUUUGAAGAAGCUCUGGGAAGCAUUAGGAGAUCCGAAAUGAUCUGGAGCUUUCUAUCUGUUCUUGCUUGAACAUGAAGUUCCAACAGCUCAAGACACGGCAAAUUCUCCAAGACAAGCUUUAUGUGCACCAUACCAUCAACAUCUCCUUCGAACUCUGUUAUCUUUAAGGUCUCAAUAGGGCAUAACAUGAGAAAAGAAUACCCUGACAAGCAAGGGCAAACAGAUCCUAAUCCCGGAUCUUCUUGAUGAGUAAAGUGCAAACAGCCCUGAAAACAAAAAUCAGACGGGAAUUUUGAGUUUGAAGAUUAUAUGAGUUUUGAAAACUCUUUUUGUUUGUCCAAUGAACUUUUUUUGAGGUUUUCGGGUCAUACCUCAAUGGUGAGUGUCCUAAGUUUUGGAGAUUUCUCAAGCACAUUCCUCAGAGGAACCCAGCAGAUAUAGUCGUCAGUUCUAACUACUAAAUGAAACAGGUGUUCAAACCAUGGGAUUGCUUCGCUGAAGGAAUGAAACAGCUGGAACAGAAAAAACAGCAACUAGUCAGUCAUAGCAAGAUUUUGAUUUUAGUAUUAUCUCAAUGGAAGAGCAAGAAGAAUUUAUCAGCAGAGUUGGCUUACCAUCAUCGUGUGGACAUGGACACACCUCAGAAUCUGGACAUUUCUUAACCCCUGAAUCAGAUUUGUAAGAUCAUAACCAUCCCCUUGGAAAAUAAGAGGAAGCUUGAGCCUAGCUUCAACAAGGGAGUUGAAAUUAACAACUGGAUACCCAUCUCGAAGAACAUCGUGGUAUUCCAAGUAUUCAAGACUCGGAGUAUCAAAACUAAUAGGCUCAGAAUUAGUUUUGUCGUCAUCAUCGUACCAUCCUAUACGCCGAAUAGUAAGUCUCUUAAGGUUCUGGCUAGACACAGUGCGAGACCAAUUCCAUUGAUCACUGCUACGCCCAUCGAUGAUUAACUCCUCAAGCACAAGGCAAGCAGAAAGAAUCCUCUGGAACACACAACGACCAUCAAGACUAUCAAACCGGACUGAAUCAAGAAUGAGAGUCUUAAGAGCUGGAAGCGAAAUAUCCUGAGGGAUGGCGUCAAUAACAAAACCAGACCCUAGUUUCAGUGUCACAACGCUCUUGCAAGUGAAGACCUCCAAAGGCAGUGGAUAGUUUUCUUUAGCAUUAAUGUCCAACUCAAGAUCAAAGACACCGCGCUUCACAACAUUGCGUAGACAAUAAUUGACAGGAUUAUAAUAAGGACGAUUACCCUCAUCUGGCAAUUUCAGAGAGAAUCUUCUUAGACGGUGAUUGGCGUGUAGAGACAAUAAUUCCUUAACGAAAUCAUUCAAACUUCCGCUAAUCUUGGACUUGGGUACAAAAAAUUCCCGAUUCGGUAUGAUGCUAAUCAGAUUCCGCCAUUUCUUUGCGGCUAUCUGUGCGUGCGCAGCUUGCUUUGCCGUAAGGAAGGAUAAGAUAUAGCUAAUAAUGUCGUCUGGUAGAUCGGUGAUUCUAGUUUUCUGCAUACUUUUCGCAAACCCUAAAACAACUAUUCUCACUACCCAGAAAAUCUCGAUUUCUAUUGGAACCUUCAACGACUUGACUCCAACAUCAACUCACCACAAUUCGCGAAGUAGAUAACCAAUGAUCAUUUUAUUGAAGCAGACGAACUUACUUCACAAUCGUGAGACGUGAAGGCGAUCAAGCACCAAUCAUCGCAAAUCUGUGUAGACGACGACAAAAUACCGAUCGAGUCUUCACUCGCACUGUGAAAACUGAAGCGAAAUGUACAUAAACAAAGAAAAACUGAAGCGAAGAAGACGACAAUGCCCGAUCGAUUCUUCACCCGAAAGCGAAAUUACAUCUUCCAAAGAGAAAUCUAGGAUGAAUCAGAGAAGAAUCGUUGCACUGUUCUUGAGAGAGCAGAGAGAGAAAGAGAGAAUAAAACGAGUUGGAGAAAAUUUUAAUUUUCUUUUUCUUUCCAAUUAGUUUCUCUGGUCUAACUAACAGAAAUGCUUUCUCGUUGACGGAAAAAAAAAAAGAAAUGCUUUCUCGUUUUCGUGUAUAAAAUUAUAAUCCAAUGAUUUUGCGCCAGCUGUAGUCAUCCACUCUCGCCGAUAAGAGCAUCCUCAAUGCAGAGACCUAUAUGAGUCUCCUAUCUAUUUUUUUAAUAGUUUUUUAGCAAAAAGUGAAAUUAAAAACUAGUUUUAGAAACUUCUUGUUUUGGACUGUGGAGAGACUUAUAUAAGUUUUUUUUUAAAAAAAAAUUUUGGAAACAAACUUAAUGAAAAAUAUCCAAGCAAAAUAUACUUAACUCGUGCUUGUACCAAGAAUCGCAAGUUCACACAUCAACAACGAUGAUUAUUAAACUCACAAAAAACAAAAAAGAAAAACAAUCUCUAAGUGAAGAUAGCCAUCAACUCAGCAACAAGCUUCUUGUUGAUUCAAAUUUUUCUUUGCCAUAGACAGGUUGGUAAUCGGAGAUGAGCAAAGGCAACAGCAGCUUCUGAGGCAUGCCUAAUCCUCUCAAAACCAAUAUAUUUCGAAAUUUGUUCUACUGCUUAUUGUUGUUACCCUCUGGCCAAUAAAGACAUGACUUUUCGAUUUCAAACUCUGAGCUUCUAUCAGCUUCAAUAUUAUCUUUGAAGAAAUCAUAGUAUAAGCUGAGAGUUUUAUCCCCUUUCUUUCCUAAGAUUUUCGGAACUUUGGAAAUGAUCUCAGCGAGAGCAGAGCUUGAAGCUCCUCUGGAAUGAAGAAACCGAAGCUUGGGACCAAGAGAAUCUGUGAAGCCAUGAGCUCAUUAACCUUGGUGAACACAGGCUUCCUCAAAGCAGGCGUUGCCUCAGCCAUUAUUAGAACAACAACCCUAGAGAUUAGCCAUUAAGAAAAAGACACACUUGGUCAGAGCAGCAAUAAGAACAAUUCACUUCACAAGCAACAACAACAAUUUCAAAUCUGAUGAUUAAACCAUUCAAAUUCAAUCUCCGAUAUUAGCCAAAAGCAUGAGAUCAAACCAAUUUCAUUCCUCAAACCUGCCACAGCUAUUAAAACGAGUGAUAGAAUUUGCAAAACAGCAACAUUGACACAAAAGAUGAUAAACGAUCGAUGACCAAAGCUAAUCACACACACAAAAAAAUAAUAUUUUGAUCAGACAAAUCAUGGGAUCUCUGAUCGAGCAGAUAAAAUUGAAGACAAAGGAAGAUCCAAUUGAGAAAAACCAGAGAAUCGACCAAAGAACAAACCAGAGAAUCGACCAGAAAAACAAAGAAUCGAGCAGAGAGGGGUUUUAGGGUUCGUUGAACUUAUCUGAAGGCUUUCUUGUCGCCGAUUUCGGAGAGGACGAGAUCAAGAUGUCGCGAUUCGUCGGAAACUCGAUCGAUCUCUCGUAAUCGUCGGAGAGGAAAGGAAAAUGGAAGAAAG
RNAcentral lists this long non-coding RNA (48750 nucleotides) under Eutrema salsugineum. RNAcentral describes it as "long non-coding RNA (ESAL_LNC001634)". The record is from RNAcentral. Lineage: Eukaryota; Viridiplantae; Streptophyta; Magnoliopsida; Brassicales; Brassicaceae.